UGCUGCAGCAGCUCGGGCUCCUCCUGCAUGCCACAAAUGGCCCACAAAAAAGAAGAAUCCUAGAACAAAAUGGGAGGUCGCUAACCAACUUCUAGGAGAGACAUAAUUAACAGCAUUGAUCUCGGUAGCUACGCCACCCACGGAAUUUAAAGAGCCUAAAGGAGCAUGGGUCAUAUAUUCUGCUGAACGUCGUUCUUGCCAAGGUUGGAUGUCUUUUUUCAUCCUACUCAAGUCCAAACCGUUGGGGCCUCUGCUAAUAUGGGCCGCUCAUAGGUUUUUGGUCACAAACUGCUAUACGCAAGGGCUAGGCAGGGUAACGAAGAGAAGGCAUACAUAAUAUUCCUCUGUCUCCUCUGAUCCUCGUUUCUGAUUCUCCUUCCGUUAACAAUCUGGUAUCAGACGAGUUCGACCUUGGAGAAUCUUCCUCCCAUUCCUGGCCGUCGCCCACGCUCCACGACGUCAGCAGCGGGUGUUGGAUCAGCUCGGCCAAAUGGACGGGCGGCUUAGCCAAAUGGAGCAGCGUCUGACGGACGCGCUCAUAGGACGCUGCGGCGAACUCGAGCAGCGUCUCGCCGAUGCUGAGCAGAAGGCCGAGGCGCGAUUCAUCUCUCUCGAGACGGAUCAGGCUCAGAUUGAGGGUUGGCGUCCCGAGGUCGACAAACGCCUCGACAACAUCGCGCUGGAGCUUAAUCGCGCCAACAAGUUCAUGGAGCGCGAAACUGUUAGGAGUGGCUGCCAUGUGGGGCCAUUGCCAGAGGACAAGUGGGUUUCUGCGGCUAUAAAAGAACAGUUGUAUAGGCUAAGAGGAUAUCAAUUACCAAUUAUCAGAAAACAAACACUAUCCUCCCUUACCUCGUCUCUCCAGUUUACUACUAGCUUUCUCUCUACUCUCUCUCUACUUGCUAUUUCUCUCUAAGAGCAUCUGUGAUGCUAACAGAAACUCUGGCGGUUGACGGCGCCAAGCCGGGCCUCAUCCCUCCAUCUUCGUCGGCGUUUGGGCGGCGGCCUGCUAACAGAAACUCGAGCAGCGUCUCGCCGAUGCUGAGCAGAAGGCCAAGGCGCGAUUCAUCUCUCUCGAGACGGAUCAGGCUCAGAUUGAGGGUUGGCGUCCCGAGGUCGACAAACGCCUCGACAACAUCGCGCUGGAGCUUAAUCGCGCCAACAAGUUCAUGGAGAGAAACUCUGGCGGCCGCCUGCCAACCACACCUUCGCCGAUGGGCCAAUCGGCCACCGCCUCCCAGAAUACCACUGGGAACGUGAGUUUGCGAGAAUCCCUCUCCAAACCCACGGUACGUGUCCAGAUCCAUUCUCUCAUAGCUAUGCCAAUUUUGGUGAUACUGCACGGGAUCUGGAUGGGGUCGUCGCGAGGGAAGUCAAGGGGGUUGCGGAAAAUUACCACGUCUGAAUUUUUCAUCGUUCGACGGGGACAAUCCGUAGUUGUGGAAGACGCUUUACGUGAAUUAUUUUGACAUGUAUGUUGUGUUAGCAACACAGAAGCUUCUAGAGAGAUAACAUGUAGAGAGAAAGUAGCAGUAACGUGGAAAGGGGGUAAGGGAAGGAGAAGACGAGAGGAUAUGUGAUAAUAGUGUUUGUAUUCUGAUAAUUGGUAAUUGAUAACCCUUUUAGCCUAUACAACUGUCCUUUUAUAGCUAUAGAAACCCACUUGUCCCCUGGCAAUGGCCCCACAUAGCAGCUACUCCUAACAUUCCCCACCGCUUGAAAUGCGGCUUGCCCUCAAGCCGCAGAUAGUGUAGCCAGCCUUGGUGUUGAACUGGUUGCGGGUAAAUUGGUAGAUGACUGUUUGGUCGUAGGAGCAGUAGCUGGUGAUGGCUUAUCUGGCAAAGUGUUGCUCUGCUUCAGAACCUGGAUGCAGCAAAGAUGCUUGGCCUCGUAGCAGCUGCUCCUACAAUACUAGAAUGGCUUGUCCCACUGGAGUUGCGAUAGGGAAAGGAGAAUCACCUGCCACCCUUUCUUCUUGACAAAAGACAGACUAGCAUGUUGCAUCUGUAAGUCUCCCAAACCAUGAAUAGACAGAUGCAGUACGCAACACUGAUCACCACCUAGAUUAUGCUUUCCAUUGAACAGCUCCCAUUUUGCUUCAAUUGUAUGAAGUUGAACGGGUUCUGCAAAGACCACAACCAAUUGUGACAGAAUAGACUGGCCUUUGGGCUCCAAAGUGGACAUCCCGUGUUCCCCAGCAGAUUCAUAUAUCAGGUGGUCUGGAAGUAGUUGUAACUUGAUCAAGGCCCCAGAAGGAAAUGAAGACACCAAACCUUGCAAACAGACCGACGUUCCCUGAUAGGAGAUAAUCAUCCACUUGUUGUACCAGCCCACUUUCAUCGUGCUAUGCACUUGUAACCAGUUCCUACCCAGGUUGAGAUCCACCAAUGGCAAGGAUAGAAAUAUCAGGUCGACGACGAACUGGUAACCAGACAUGGGCCAUCUAGUUUGUGGUAACUGAUGAGAACAAGAGAUGAUCGGACUCUUGGCCACUUUUACAUUCAGACAGCGCUCCAAGGGUUGAACACCAGUCAACAAUGGAAAGUACUUAUCAUUGAUGGAAGUAUGUGAAGAUCCUGAAUUAAUGAGCACCAAAAUAUCUUGAUGCUGAAUUUGACCUUGUAAACGCCAUGUGGUAGCUGUCUCGGUACCAGACCAUGCUGAAGAUGACAACACCAUCAGGAGCUGAUCAGAGUUGAUGAGGUUGAAGCGAGCAGGGUGGGAUAUAACCCUGAUGCAGCCUUGGUAGAAAAGAUUUCCUGGAUCCCACGAUUGCACUAAUUUUCUGCAACAAAAUUUCCAGCAAAAUCCAUGGAAGUUAUGAAUCCCACUCCACCAGACACGUACUGAAGACUGCAGCAAAGCAUCGAAACCGUCGAGUACAAGUGAGAUAAUACUAGCAGCCCCAUGACCGUUUAGGCCUCCUUCAAUAAUCUCUAACUCAUACUUCUUAAGUACUAGCGGGCCACAUUUUUCACCACUCUUCUGCUGCGCCAAGGCUUCAAUAAGUUCAUAUCCUAGCCAUGUAAGUAACUCAUGCAAAGUGACAGAAGCUCUGAUGUAUCGUUGAAGUAACCAUGGUGGUUUCCAAACAAAAAGAGCAUUCAAAUUCAUACAACAAUUAAUCAUCGAUGUGAAACUCGGCCAUGGCAUUGGACGUAUCAUACCACACACAUGAAAAAUCUCCAAUGGAAUGAGGAUAAAGUGAGCAUGGUAGGAUAUGAAUAUACCCUUCCUAUCCACCAUGUUCCAUCCCGGCGCAGCGGAAUCCAGCAGCACGUCGACGAGGUGGUUGUCCAGCAGGUUGACCUCGUAGACGUACAAUAUGCCUCUGUUGGUCUUGGCGAUUAGGCCGGACUUGAACGCAUUGCCGCCCUCGGUGGCGGCCUUGAGGAACGCGGUUUUGCCGACCCUUGCCAUGCCGUAGAUGUCAACGGCGCCCACGUCAUCGUCACAGACACAGGUGUGGAGCUCGUGGAGCAGCGCGUCCUUGCCGCGAACCGACGCGCUCGGCAUCUCCUCGAAGCGGAUCUGGACGAGCUCGACGGUGUCCUUGCGGAAGUCUGCCUGCUCGUUGAGGUGGUAGGUGGCCUUUGUAGCUGGACUGCUGGAGGCCGGGUCGGGCGAAAGCUGCAGGGGCGGCUGGUACUCGUCGACGAUCCGCGCGGCGGCGUCCUCGAGCAGGAUGCACCCGAUCUGACUGGUGGCCUCCACGUCUUGGCGCUCAACAGCGUCGACCAUGAGCUUGCCAUGGUGGAGGGAAACGACUCUCCCUCGAAGACAGGUUCCUCGUCGAAGAUAGGACCCUCGUCGAAGACAGGUUCUUCUUGCUGCUAGAAGGUGUAGUAGCUCGCUGUGAAGUGGCUGUGGAGCUCGUCGCACCGCGCGUCCACGCGGCGCUCGACGCCGUCACAGCGACCAACAAUUUUCUCGGUAAGGCGGGCUUCCAUCAGGCGCAUUUCGUCGAGCACCUUACAAGCGAUGGCAUCGAACAAAUCCAUAGCAGUGGAUCGCGGACGCCGAUGCGCUGCUCCGAGCGGAUCCAGGAUGCUGCUCUGAUACCAGAUGUUAGCAACACAGAAGCUUCUAGAGAGAUAACAUGUAGAGAGAAAGUAGCAGUAACGUGGAAAGGGGGUAAGGGAAGGAGAAGACGAGAGGAUAUGUGAUAAUAGUGUUUGUAUUCUGAUAAUUGGUAAUUGAUAACCCUCUUAGCCUAUACAACUGUCCUUUUAUAGCUAUAGAAACCCACUUGUCCCCUGGCAAUGGCCCCACAUAGCAGCUACUCCUAACAUGUUGUUGAUCUUCACAUGUGGAUUAGGGUGGCUUCAAUGCAUUUCACGGGACGCGCCAAAGGUUGGUUGCAUCGCCGCGUACCAUUCUGGUCGUGGUCUUGGUCUGAAUUUUGUGCCCAUGUUCACGAUUGCUUUGCACGUGAUCAACACGAGUCCUUGAUUCGCCAGUUGUUCCACAUACGGCACUUAGGAUCGGUUGCAUAUUAUGUUGAUCGUUUUUCCAUUUUAGUGGAUCACCUCUCUGCUUAUGAAGAACAUGUCGAUCCAUUAUAUUAUACUAUGUGUUUCGUAGAUGGUAUGCAUGUCCGCUAUUAUGGUGCAACGUCCCUCUACAUUGGAUACUGCUGUUAGCGUUACGGAUGCUUCUAGCGAGAAAUAGCAGGUAUAGAGAGAGAAAGCUAGCAGUAACAUGGAGACAUGUAAAGGAAGGAAGAAGACAGAGAAUAGACGAUGAUAGUGUUUGUAUUCUGAUAAUUGGUAAUUGAUAUCCAUCUUAGCCUAUACAACUGUCCUUUUAUAGCUGCAGAAACCCACUUGCCCCUUGGCAAUGGCCCCACAUGGCAGCCACUCCUAACAUUUCCCACCGCUUGAAAUGCGGCUUGCCCUCAAGCCGCUAACCAUAAUCGCCAAGUUGCCGGAGGCCAUGCACAGUCCAGGCGCUCAAACUCCAUAGGUGGAGGCCACAGUUGCUUGAAUCCUACUACACUGUGAGCAAGUCCUGCUAAGUCAUGAAUCAGGGGCUGCAUCCAAGCUUGGUCACCUCCUUUCUGUUCAUACAUCACACAACCUUUAUGCCAGGUUCCCAAUAGAGGAGGAGCUACUUUAGGCAGUAACAUGUAGUAGUUUGGAUGAUAAUCGAGUCACUCCAUUGGAUAAUUUGGGCACCCAGGAAUACCGAGGUCCUGGAGCAUGCCAAAUGACCUGACCACAUCGUCAGUGCGCCCCGCCUUGCCAUAGCAUCGGCUGAGUGAGGUCCAGACAAAGAUAUUUGGCUUUAAUCCAGCCUCCACCAUUUCAUUCAGUAUGACCUCUACACCUAGGACGUUGGCAGUUGAUGAAUACUGCAUCACCAUCGAUGAGUACCUCCACUUAUCAGGCUUGGAAUGAUCAUCCAUGGGCACGCUGAGGUCUCUGAAGAUCUCCUCAGCCUUGUCCACAUAGCCAAUGUCGGCGUACAUGGAUAGAAGCAUGUUGUAGAGCAUCACGCCCAUUGCCUCAUCCUUCAUCAGCUGGUACACAGCCAUGGCAUCCUCGCCAGUGAGUGCCCUAGUGUAUGCAUGCAGGAGACAAUAGUAAGCCGUCCUACUGGGCUGCACUUGCUUGUUAACCAUCUCCCUGUGGAUGGUCUUCACCACCCAAGGUUGCAACACAUGGCCCAUGACAUCCAACAUUGUGUUGCACAUGACCAGGUUUGGCUUCACACCAGUUGCCUUCAUUUCCUCGAAUACGUUGAGUGCACCGUUGAAGUUGCCACUGGUUGAGUGGACCUUGUUCACUGUACAACAGAGCACAGGGUCCAGCUGCCAUUUCUCCGCGCGAGCGCGACAGAGGGCUGCCUCGAAGUUCCCAGUGUGGAUGUACGUGUCGAUCACCGCAGAGUAUGUGAGCCAGUCCGGUGAGCACCCAAACUCCGGCAUCUUGUCGAACCACUCGACAACCUUGCUCAGGAGGCCGUAGGCGCACACAACUGAUGAUGGUCGAGAAGAUGGUGUUGCCGGGCUGCAUGCCGUGCCGUAGCAUCUUGGCCCAUAGCGCCUCGGUCUCGCGCCAGUGUCGUUUCUUGCGCAGCAGCUUGAGCUUGACUUUGUAGAUGAUGACCUUCUUCCAGACCUCAACGUUUCCUAGGAACCAGCGGAGAGCGAGCACAGCGAUCUCUGGCCUGGUGGCGGUAGCCAUGUUGAGCAUGAUGACGGUGUCCUGCUCGGAGGGAGGCUCAGGAAAGGCAGACUGAAGCCCGGCCUCUACGACGGCUUCGUCAGGAUCGCAUGCCUUGAGCACCGCCGCGGUGGAGGCGAGACGUGCGUGGCGGCCCAACCCAGCACGCAUGGGUGUGUCAGCAACUCUCAUCCCAUGAACCCUCAACGUCGUCGCGAUGGACGUGCCAAUCCGCUCAUGCGCGUCGUCCAGGUUGUGGAUGAAGGCCGGGUAGCAGGUGACCAUCUGGAAGCACCAGAGCUCAUGGGAAAAGUCUGGAAGACCGAUGGUGUGGUGCAGGGCACAGUUGGAGCCGUAGUCAUCGGAGCUAGGCCCACCCACGAUGUAGACCACGAGGAGGUUGGGUAUGGAGUAGGUGUGAAUCAUCUAGGCCCCUUAGUGAUGUUUUGGUAAUUAAUGAUAACUAUUUGUGGACUAAUAGUUCUUAGAGAAAUAAGAAUGCAGGUUGGACCACAGAGAACAGAAAAUCUUGGAGACUUAUAAGUAUUGGUUGUGGAUCAAGUGAAGACAAAGGUAUAACAUAGGUUUUUGUUUUUGCCGGUCUCUAGGAGUUUAGAGAAGACAUUUGACCGGAUUAGUAGGCUAGAUGGCCGUACUAUUAAGAGGGGUCAAUGACUUUGGUCUGUGUAAAACUUAGUCUAACAACACUUCCGGUUUCGAGAGUUAAAAAAUCUUUUCGAAAGCAUGUUUGAAAAGUUGCUAAGUCAUGGGGUUGGCGGACCGUCCGGGCCAAGUGGCCGGGCCGUCCGCGGUCUAUCCAGAGGGGUCCGAAGUAUGUUCACUUCGGACUGGUCCUGUAUGUUUGUACUACGGACCGUCCGGGCCUUGGGGCCGGACCGUCCGUAGUCCUGACCAAAGAGGGUCGCCCUCUGCACAGUCCCUGUAUAAUUGUACGGACUGUCUGGCCGGGGUCGGCGGACCGUCCGCAGGUGCCAAAUUUGUUUGGCAGGGACUGUGUGUUUUUGGGCACUUGUACUACGGACUGUCCGGGGUCUGAGCCCGGACAGUACUAACUCCCAGGUCGUGGACCGUCCAACCUUGUAUGGCGGAUAGUCCGCGUGUGUUAUCUCAUCGUGGUCAGAGCUCUGGUGCUCCAUGUUGCGAGGUUUCGAAUGGUCCGACCAAGGUUGGCAGACUGUCCGAACUUCGCUUUUUCUGACAGCUCUGACAUAUUUCAAACUGGAAAUCUAGCUGUUACUUGUACGGCGGACCGUUCGGCCUAAGGGCGCGGACCGUCCGCGUGUGCGCAAAAGUUGUGCUAGUUGCACAUAACGGUUAGAAAUGUGAAGUGGGCUAUAAAUAGAAGGGGAGCUCGUGUGUGAGGCUUCUCUUGGCCAUUCCUUGCACACUUUGAGCUCAUUUGUGAUCCUCCCACUCAUUCUCUCACACUCCUUGCUUGAGAUUGCAUUCUAGUGAGAGAUUGAGAGCUCCUAGUGCAUUUGCAUCCAUUGGUGAUUCUUGAGGCACUAGGUGGUACACUGGGCAAGUGUCAUCGGCUUGUUAUUCUUGGAGGUUGCCGCCUUCUAGACGGCUCGGGUGUUGUCUCCGUCGAGCUCUCCAAGAAAAUUGUGGAGGAGCCGCGGUGUCGAUUGUGAGGGGUUCGCGCCUACCUCGUCGGAGCGGCAAAGGCGACACUAGUGGAAACGAGGUAUUGAGAGAUUUCUUGUCCACUUGGCUCAAAGAUCAAGCCACAUCUUGAUAAAGGAGCAAGUGAGAGCUUGAAGUCCACCUCAACGUGGAUUAGGAGUGAUCGGCAAAUCACCGAUACCACGGGAUAAAAUCCGGUGUCUUUCUCUUCUCGCAUUACUUAUUACUGUGCAAGUAAUUAGUAUUUCGUGUAUUGUCUCUCUUGUAUACAAUUACCAUAGUUGUUUCUCAUAGAUUGCUUACUUGUUGUCACUAGAAAAUUUAUACCUCUUAUCAUAUUGAUUAAAUUUCUCUAGUGUUUUUGAUUUUAGUCAAAACUGUCUAUUCACCCCCCUCUAGCCGGUGUCCUAGAUCCUACAAGUGGUAUCAGAGCCAAGGACUCCAUUGUUUGUGGAUCUAAUCAUUCCGAAGUUGGACAAAAUGGCUAGUAACAACAAUGUGCACAUUGGGAAGCCACCACAUUUUGAUGGGAAUAACUAUGACUAUUGGAAAAUAAGAAUGCCAAUGCAUCUUAUAGCAAUGGGUGGAAAAAUUUGGCAAGUUGUCAAGGAUGGGUUGUUGUGUUGAAACAAGAUGAACCAUCGGCUAGUGACAAUGAAAACAUUCUUACAAAUGAUCAAGCCAUGAAUGUAUUCUAUGAUGCUCUUGACAUAAAUGAGUUCAAUCGUAUCAAGAAUCUCACAACUGCUCAUGAGAUUUGGACUAAGCUAAUGGAAAUUCAUGAAGGAACUACAAUUGUGAAGAGUGCAAAGCUAUAUGUGUGCAAAGGAAAAUUUGAGCAAUUCAUUAUGAAAGAAGAAAGUGUAUCCAAUAUGUUCAACCGGUUAAAUGAGAUAGUGAAUGAGCUCAAGGGACUUGGUUUUGAUGUACCAGAUGUGGAUUUCACUCAUAAGUUCCGUAGAUCCCUUCCGGAGAAGUAUGAGACUAUUGUGACCAUGCUAGUAAGAAGCGAUUUAUCUACAACUUCUCCAACUGAAGUAUUGGGAGAAAUUCUUACUCAAGAUAUAUUCAAGAAAUCUCAAGCCAAUGCUAUAAGUUUGGCAAAGAAAGUGAAGAAUGAAUCAAUCGCUCUCAAAGCUAAAGCUUCUAAGGCAAUUGAAAAAGAAGAUAGUGAUGAUGAAGAAAAUGAAAGCGAAAGUGAUGGAGAUAUGGCUCUAUUUGUAAAGAAAUUCAACAAAUUCAUGAAGAAGAAGAGGGGUCAACCUAGAAGAGACCAAACAUCAAGAAGAAAUGCUUUCAAUGAUAGAAAGUGUUUUGAGUGUGGGGAACCCAAUCACAUCGCCAUGAAUUGCCCUAACAAGAAGAAGAAGGGCAAAUAUGGAGAUGAUAAGAAGAAGAAGAAAUUCUACAACAAGAAGAAAGAUGGCAAAGCCUACCUACUUUAAUGGGAUUCGGAUGCUAGCUCGGAUGAUGAUGAUGACACCUCAUCCAAGCUUAAUGCCGGAAUUGUCAUCAAGGAAGCCCCUUCACUUUUCUCAUCCCCUCAUUGUCUCAUGGCAAAGGGAGAUGCUAAGGUGAACUACAAGGCGAGAGGGAAUCAUUGGGUGUUGGAUAGUGGAUGCACUCAACACAUGACCGGAGAUAUGAAAAUGUUCACCCAAAUGAGUGUGGAAGAUUGCUCAAGUUAUGAUAGUAUCACAUUUGGAGAUAAUCGCAAAGGAAAAGUUAAAUGUUUGGGUAAAAUUGCUAUUUCAAAUGAUUAUUCCAUAUCAAAUGUGCUCUUGGUUGAGUCUUUGAAUUUUAAUUUACUAUCCGUAGCUCAAUUAUGUGAUUUAGGAUUUAGUUGCAAUUUUACCGUUGAUGAUGUUAUUAUCUCUAGUGUUGAUGGUAGCAAUCUUAAGUUUAAAGGCUUUAGAUAUGAAAAAUCUUUAUCUUGUUGAUUUCUCAUCCAAUGAGGCAAAGCUCACAACUUGCUUAUUCUCAAAGGCUUCACUAGGUUGGUUAUGGCAUAGAAGACUUGGUCAUGUUGGAAUGAAGCAACUCAAUCGUUUAACCAAACAUGACUUAGUCCAUGGCUUGAAAGAUGUGAAAUUUGAGAAGAACAAAUUGUGUAGCUCUUGUCAAGCCGGGAAGCAAGUGGAAAAUACUCAUCCAAAUAAGAGUCAAAUGUCUACUCAUCGGCCUUUAGAAUUACUUCACAUGGAUUUAUUUGGACCAACAUCUUUUGUGAGUAUUGGCGGUAAUUCCUAUUGCCUUGUGAUUGUGGAUGAUUAUUCUAGAUUCACUUGGGUUUAUUUUCUUCGAGAUAAAUCUAAUGUGUUUGAAACAUUCAAGUCAUUUGCUAUAUUGGCUCAAAACCAAUUUAAUUUUGAUAUCAAGAAAGUUAGAAGUGAUAAUGGGUCGGAAUUCAAAAAUGCUAGAAUUGAUGAAUUUUCUUCCAAAUAUACUUCGGAACAAAACGGUAUUGUUAAAAGGAAUAAUAGGACUCUCAUUGAUAUGGCUAGGUCUAUGCUAGCGGAAUAUAAUGUGUCAGAUUCUUAUUGGGCCGAAGCCAUAAACACCGCUUGUCACACAUCAAAUAGGCUAUACUGUCACAAGCUCUUGAAGAAAACUCCCUAUGAAAUUGCUCAUUGGUAGAAAGCCAAAUAUCUCAUAUUUUAGAGUAUUCGGUUGCAAAUGCUAUAUUUUGAGAAAGGGAAGCCGACUCUCUAAAUUUGAGAAGAAAUGUGAUGAGGGUUUUCUACUUGGAUAUUCAUCAAAUAGCAAGGCUUAUAGAGUUUUCAACAAGACUCAUGGUAUUAUUGAAGAAGCAUAUGAUGUUGAAUUUGAUGAAACAAAUGGGUCUCAAGAUGAAAACGAUAAUCUUGAUGAUGUUGAUGGAGCUCAAUUGAGAAAUGUUAUGAAAACAAUGGCUAUUGUCGAUAUAAAGCCAAAAAAGAUGAUGUUGAUAAUAGUGUAGUUGUCAUUCCAUCCUCUUCAACCCUAAAUGAAGAAAAUCACCAAAGCCAACAAAAUGAUGAAGUUGUGGAUGCUCAUGAUCAAGAUACUUCAAGUCAUUCGGUCCCUCCUCAUGCUUCAACUAGUAAUUCUCAAAUGGUAUCAAGAAUCCAUCAUUCUAUUGUGAAGGAUCACCCAGUUGAUCAAAUUGUGGGCGACAUUAGUAAGGGUGUUCAAACUCGCUCUCGUAUAGCUUCAUUUUGUGAACACUUCUCUUUUGUAUCUUUUAUGGAACCUAACCGUGUAGAUGAAGCUCUACUUGAUGUUGAUUGGGUGAAUGCAAUGCAUGAGGAAUUAAAUAACUUCACCCGAAAUGAAGUUUGGGAGCUUAUUGAGAGACCAAAGAACCACAAUGUUAUUGGUACCAAAUGGUUGUUUCGCAACAAGCACAAUGAAGAUGGAUUAGUAGUAAGAAACAAGGCAAGAUUAGUGGCACAAGGGUAUACUCAAAUAGAGGGAUUGGAUUUCGGUGAGACAUUUGCUCCCGUGGCAAGAUUGGAAGCAAUCUGGAUCCUUCUUGCUUAUGCUUGUGCUCAUAAUAUCAAGAUCUACCAAAUGGAUGUAAAGAGUGCCUUUCUAAACGGUAAGAUUAGUGAACUAGUGUAUGUUGAACAAUCUCUCGGUUUUGAGGACCCCAAAAGACCUAACCAUGUGUACAAGCUUUCUAAAGCUCUCUAUGGGCUUAAGCAAGCCCCACGCGCUUGGUAUGAAAGGCUUAGGGGUUUCUUGCUUUCCAAAGACUUUAAAAUUGGGAAGGUUGACACUACUCUAUUCACUAAAAGAGUUGGGAAAGAUUUGUUUGUUUGUCAAAUUUAUGUUGAUGAUAUUAUUUUUGGAUCCACUAAUGAGUUGUUUUGUGAGGAGUUUGGAAAAAUGAUGUCAAUGGAAUUUGAAAUGUCUAUGAUAGGAGAAUUGAGCUUCUUUCUCGGUCUUCAAAUCAAACAAUUGAAGGAUGGAAUCUUUGUAAGUCAAUCAAAAUAUCUGAAGGAUAUGCUCAAGAAGUUUGACUUAGAAAAUGCAAAGCCUAUCAAGACUCCUAUGGCAACAAAUGGUCAUCUAGACUUAGAUGAGGGAGGUACAAUGGUUGAUCUAAAACUUUUUCGCUCAAUAAUUGGUAGCUUGCUUUACAUUACCGCAUCUAAGCCCGAUGUUAUGUUUAGUGUUUGCAUGUGUGCUCGAUUUCAAGCUUCACCUAGAGAGAUUCACUUGAAAGCCGCAAAAAGAAUUCUAAGAUAUUUGAAGUAUACCCCCAAUAUUGGUCAAUAGUAUCCCAAAGGUGCUCAAUUUGAAUUGAUUGGAUAUUUGGAUUCGGACUAUGUGGGUUGCAAAGUUGAUAGGAAGAGCACCUCCGGUUGUUGUCAAUUUCUUGGGAGGUCUCUUGUUUCAUGGUCUUCUAAGAAGCAAAAUUUCGUUGCUCUCUCUACCGCCGAGGCAGAAUAUAUAUCGACCGAUAAUUGUUGUGCUCAAAUAUUAUGGAUGAAACAUACUCUAUUGGUUAUGGGAUCACUUUCAAGAAUGUGCCUCUCAUGUGUGAUAAUGAGAGUGCGGUAAAAUUGGCUACAAAUCCGGUCCAACACUCAAGAACGAAGCAUAUUGAUAUACGUCAUCACUUCUUGAGAGAUCAUGUUGGAAAGGGAGAUAUCUCUAUAUAUUCGAUUGGCAUGGAUGAUCAAUUGGCCGAUAUAUUUAUAAAGCCAUUAGAUGAAACGAGGUUUUGCAAAUUAAGAAGUGAAAUGAAUGUGAUAGAUCUCUCAAACAUGGCUUGAGGUUGAAUACACAUGUGUAGUAUUGCAUUUAGAUUCCAAAUGUGCUCUCUAGGCUAUUUAUUGGAUAUUUUUGAUGAUUUUUUGAUUCUUGUUUGAUCUAAAUAGUUUUAUAUGAAAAUUUGUGUUACUCAAGUACAUAAUGUGUAUAUGCAUGCAUACUAACCCUUGGAUUGGUCAAAAUGUCCAUAUUUGAGCGAUAAACCAAAUUUAAAAUUCAAAAUCAGAAAGUGGACAAAGUUUGGAUAUUUGAGUAUCAGGUCACGGACUGUCCGGGUAAUGACCGCGAACCGUCCGACGUAUCAGGUUCUGGACAGUCCGAGUCAGCAGAGCAGAUUGUCUGAAUUGACAGGGCGCGGACCGUCUGUAGACCCCACGCGGACCGUCUGUGAUAGGCAGAUAAAUCGGGCAGAGGCAGUCAGAUUGUCACUUUCAACACUUGUCUCUUUCUCUCUCACACUCCACACGCCAAAGGUGAUUCUUGUCGUUUGUGAGCGGACGGUGAACCAAAAUUGCGCACGGACUGUCCGGGAGAUUGUUUGGAGUUCAUCAACCAUGUCUUCAUCUCGGUAUUUCAAAAUCUCAUGGAAUUUGUCUGAUUUAUUCAAAUUUGGGGUUUCAUAGGGUUUUCUCUCUGAUCUAGAAUUAGGCAGUGGAAAUACAAUUUUGAUUGGUGGAAUUGCUCGUGUUACUCAUUGUGAAUAUGGUGCAAAAAUUUGAAUGGAUUUGGAUGGUUAUUUUCUGUCAAAUCGAUGAUUAGAUGGAUGGGGCGACUAGGGUUCUAGAAAUCGCCUCUGGACGGUCGCGGACCGUCCGCCAGGAUGGCGUGGACAGUCCGGCCCCCUAGCGCAGACAGUCCGGUCGCUGACAGAAACUUACACUUUCUUUCUCUAUGUUGUGACAUCAUCAACUAUUAACCAGUGGAUAUUACUCAUAUAUAUUGCAGUGGUCUGGGUGAUCUUAAGAAGAAGCUUGCAGGUCGUUUUCAGUCAAAGCGCCGUCGUGCAGAUGAUGCAGAUUAUAAUCCAGCUACAGACUCUGAGGCCCAAUCAUCAGCUGGGGGCAGCAUUUCUAUGGACAUAGAGGAUGCUCCACACGCUCAUCCAGAUUAUCCAAUUGAUGUCACAGGAUGGACCUAUCCCAAGAGAAGAUUCUCUAUGGCUAAGUACUGCUCCAGGAGGACAGUUAAUCAGUAUGAUCUGCCCUCUGACACAAACAUUCAGUUUUUCAUACUCAGCUUCAGUUUGAUGUCUUCUGGGGAACCCUAAUGGACACAAACUUUCACAAGCAUCAAGUUAUUGAUUGGAAAUUUAUGUUGGGCCAGUCAGUCAUGGAGGGAUUGAUUCCAAAGUUCGAGGCAUGUGGUCUCUAUGACUUUAUGGGCCAGAAGACAGACUUCAGUGAGAUGGAUGUGAAACAGUUCCGGGCAACUGCUGAGAUUGACAUUGAUGAGCAAUCAAUCACUUGGAUGACUGGCUUUAAGAGGUAUUCUGCAACCUUUGCUAAGUUUGCUAUUGCAAACAGUUUGGACUAUGAUAUAAUCUCAGCUGGGAUUGAUUUGUAUACUGAGGACAACUUUGAAGAAUGUGAGCAGUUCUAUGAGCCAGUGAGGCUGGGAAUUCCUAGGAGGUUUGGUGAGACUUCAGGACUGAGGCAUCAUCCUGUUGUCAUUAACAAGAUUGCCAGAGUAACUAUUGUCCCAAAGAGUGGAGAUAAGAGCAAGAUCAGAGAUAAGUUCUGGAACAUCAUCCACCAUAUCAUGAAUGGUGAGGUGAUGAAUGUGGUGCUAUUUAUGAUGAGGCAAUUGAAUGACCUCAAGAUGGACAAGAACCAGAACUUGGCAUAUGCUCCAUACAUCAUGGCUCUCAUCAAGGCUAAGACCAAAUUUGAGGGGUUGUUGGGACCAUGCUUCAUCGCCGAAGGUCCUGCAGAAAGAAAUAGCCUCGGCUAAAGCUGCUCGUACGUGAUGCCGAAGGUGCCAUUUCGUGAAGCUUCAGAAUUACAAACCGACUUAAAGAUAGAAUGACCUUUUAGUCCAUAAGAGUCCGAGUCAUUGUUGUAAACUUUUAUGAGGGGUACGAUUGUAAUUCCUCACGGGCUGUGUCCUGUGCCUAUAAAUAGUGAACAGUAUUCCUUUACUGUUCACGCAUUCCAGAAAUUGCAAUUGCAUCACUCGGAAAUUAUUCUUUGUCAAGGCAGAGGUAAAAUGUGUCUAAAUAUUAUAUUUGAACAUCUUAAAUUCAUAUAUAAUAAAUAAAUAAUGUUAUUUAUUUCCAAUUCACUUGUUUUUAGUGUUUGAUGACUUACAUUAUUUCACAUUAUCUUUGUGAUUUCGACUAUGAAGGUAUAACCUUCGUAGUUCUGCCAUUAUAACCUUCGUCCGAAGCAUAUCCUUGGGGAAAUAAUGCUUCAGAGGACGAAGGGCAUUGAUAUUUAACAUUUUAUGUUGUCUUGUUCUUAAUUCAUAGCAUUUGAGAACAAGUCCCCAACAUUGGCGCCCACCUCCGGUGAACUCACUUCCACUUUUUUGAGCUGAUGGCUUCGCUCAACGACCAAGCUGGAGCUGCUUCGGCUCCGAAGCUGGUACUCCCGAUAACAGGCGGUUCAUGCUCAGAGCCAGCCAACAAGAAGCAGAAAAAGGAAGCACAAAGAAGGGUACAGCAUGUCGGAGUGCAAGGACCCUUCAUCAAGUCAAGAUGGUCACACAUUCCAAUUACCUUCUCCCAAGAGGAUCUUCAACUCAAGGAUUACCCACACAACAAUGCUAUGGUUAUCUCUUGUGUGAUCAAAGGAUUUCUGGUCCAUAAUGUUUUGGUUGAUACAGGCAGCGCAGCUGAUAUCAUAUUUGCUAAAGCCUUCAGACAGAUGCAAGAGCCUGAAGAUAAAAAUUCAUGAUGCCACACAUCCCCUCUACGGCUUCGGAGGAAGGCAGAUUGUAGCACUCGGCAAAAUCACAAUGCCAGUGACCUUCGGGUUUAUCAACAACACAAGGACUGAACAAGUUGUGUUUGAUAUUGUUGACAUGGAAUACCCUUACAAUGCAAUCAUUGGCCGUGGCACUCUCAAUGCCUUCGAAGCAAUUCUUCACCCAGCUUAUCUUUGCAUGAAGAUACCUUCGGACCAAGGGCCCAUUGCUAUUCAUGGAAGUCAGGAAGCUGCCAGAAGGGCCGAAGGAAAUUGGACAGACUCAAAAGCAAUCCAUAACAUAGAUGGAGCUGAAGCUUGUGAGCAAUACAAGUUCAGAAGAGAAAAAGCUGCUUCGGCUGAUCAGCCGAAGCCCAUGCUCUUAUGUGAGGACAUAGCAGAGCAGAAGGUCCUAUUGGGAUCUCAACUGUCCGAAGAGCAGGAGAAAACCUUGAUAAGGUUUUUAUUCAACAACAAAGAUGUUUUUGCUUGGUCAGCUAAUGAUCUUUGCGGAGUAAACAGGGAUGUUAUUGAGCACUCGCUCAAUGUUGAUCCAUCCUUCAGACCAAGAAAGCAAAGGCUUCGGAAGAUGUCUGAUGACAAAGCCGAAGGUGCUCGCAACGAAGUGAAAAGACUCCUCAAUGCUGGAGUUAUCAGAGAGGUAAAAUAUCCAGAAUGGUUGGCUAACACUGUUAUGGUAAAGAAGGCCAAUGGUAAAUGGAGAAUGUGCAUCGAUUUUACUGAUCUCAGUAAGGCCUGUCCGAAGGACAAGUUUCCAUUGCCAAGGAUAGAUUCCUUAGUCGAUGCAGCAGCUUCAUCAGAGCUUAUGAGUCUGCUGGAUUGCUAUUCAGGUUAUCACCAAAUCUGGAUGAGGAAGGAGGAUGAACCGAAAACCAGCUUCAUAACCCCCAGUGGAACAUAUUGUUACCUUCGGAUGCCUGAGGGGCUCAAGAAUGCCGGAGGAAGUUUCAGCAGAAUGACAGCAAAGGUCCUCCAUUCUCAGAUAGGCAGGAAUGUGCUAACUUAUGUUGAUGAUAUCAUUGUAAAAAGCACGAAGCAAGAUAACCACAUUGCUGAUCUGCAGGAGACCUUCGCUAAUUUUAGACAGGCUGGCUUAAAGCUGAAUCUAGAAAAAUGUGUCUUCGGAGUAAAGAAGGGGAAAUUUCUUGGUUGUUUAGUUUCAACAAAAGGAAUUGAGGCCAAUCCAAGCAAAAUCGAAGCUAUACUUCGAAUGGAACCACCAAGUACAAAGAAGGGGCUCAAAGAUUGACAGGAAGGCUGGCAUCUCUCAACAGAUUCAUAUCUAGAUCAGCAGAGAGAAAUUUACCAUUUUUCGAAGUAUUGAAGUCAGCCGAAGUUUUUCAAUGGGGACCAGUCCAGCAGAAAGCCUUCGAAGAACUGAAGCAAUACUUGAUAGAUCUAACAACACUAACUCCACCAACGCCAGAGGCUCCUUUGUUAUUAUAUGUGGCAGCUUCGCACUCAGCGGUAAGUGCAACACUUGUCCAGGAGAAGCUUGAAGGCCAAGCUAAGAAAUAGACCCCAAUAUAUUUUGUAUCCGAAGUUCUUAGUUUAUCAAAUAAAAAUUAUACAGAAUUGGAGAAAGUACUGUAUGCUGUUUUGAUGGCCUCCAGGAAGCUUCGGCAUUAUUUUCAAGCUUACAAUAUAAUUGUUCCUUCUUCACAACCUUUGAAGGAUAUUAUGAGAAACCGAGAAGCUACUGGAAGGAUUGGAAAAUGGGCCGCAGAGCUCAAUGAAUUUUGUAUUGAUUAUGUUCACAGAUCUUCAAUUCAGUCUCAAGCGUUGGCAGACUUCAUUGCUGACUGGACGCCAGGGGCUCAGGAGGAGGAAAUGAAUAAAGAUGCCGAGGCAUGGACAGUGUUUUGCGAUGGGUCUUGGGGAACCUUCGGAGCAGGAGCAGCUGCUGUGCUGGUUUCACCUUCCAAAGUUAAAACUUGUUAUGCGGCGAGACUUGAUUUCAGUUGUACAAACAAUAUUGCUGAAUACGAAGCUCUGCUUUUGGGUCUUCGGAAGUUAAAAACAAUGGGGAUCAGAAGGGCCAUUCUUAAAACUGAUUCCCAAGUUAUUUCUGGUCAUAUUGACAAGAGCUAUAAAGCAAGAGACCCGAAGCUUGAAAAGUAUUUAGAUACAGUCCGAAGGAUUGAGGCUUCCUUCGAAGGAUUCUCUGUCAAAAAUAUUCCUCGUGGAGAAAAUGAAUACACUGAUCUAAUGGCUAAGUCAGCAGCACAGGGGCUGCCUUUACCUUCAGAAGUAUUUUUCGAAACAAUAAAAGCACCUUCGGUCGAGCUUCUUGAAAGAGCGGUCCUUAACAUAUCCCAUGUCUAUAGUGAAGAUUGGAGAACUGAAAUCAUUUCUUUCCUUCAGGGUAAUUUUCUUUCAGAUGAUGAAGCUUAUAACAGGAGAAUAGAAGCAAGAGCUCGACCAUAUGUCAUAAUAGAAGGGGAGCUAUACAAGCGAGGGGUCUGUUCCCCGUUGCUCAAGUGUUUAUCCAGAUCCGAAGGCAUAGAAUUGAUGAAGGAAAUACACGCAGGCCUGUGUGGAUCUCACAUUGGAUCUAGGCCUUUGCUUGGGAAAGUUUUUCGUCAAGGAUUUUAUUGGCCAAAGGCAGCUUCGGAUGCAGCGGAUUUAGUCCAAAGGUGCGAAGGUUGUCAGAAAUGUGCAAGAGAUAAAAAACAACCUUCAUCUUUAACUCAAUUAAUACAACCCACUUGGCCGUUGCAAAGGUGGGGCCUUGAUUUGCUAGGCCCAUUAUCACCAGCACAGGGGAACUUAAGAUAUGUGGUAGUGGCAGUGGAAUAUUUUUCCAAGUGGAUUGAGGCAAAGCCCUUAGCCACAAUAACUUCAUUUACUAUUCAAAAGUUUUUCUGGCAAAACAUUGUUUGUCGCUUCGGAGUGCCGAAGGCCAUUACUGUGGACAAUGGGACACAGUUUGAUUCUGAAGCCUUCAGAGAAUUUUGUGAUCAAAUUGGCACGAAAAUCCAUUUUGCAUCAGUCCGACAUCCAGAGUCAAAUGGACUUGUCGAAAGAGCUAAUGGGAUCAUAAUGACAGGAAUAAUGAAGUCAAUCUUCAAUCAGCCCAGGGGAAAGUGGCCAAACGAGUUAAUCAAAGUGGUAUGGAGCCAUAACACAACCAUGUCAAGAUCAACAGGUUUUACGCCCUUCAAACUAUUGUUUGGUGACAAAGCAAUAACCCCAGAGGAGGCCAAAGCAGGAUCAAUAAGAACAGUAGCUUCGGCAGAAGGCGAGGACGAAGCUGAUUGCUCUGUAGAAAAAGAUGCUAUAGAAGGGUUCAGACUUCAAGCUGUGGAAAACAUCAAUAAAUAUCAAGCUGAAACAAUAAAAUGGCGUGACAGAAAGGUCAAGCUGAAAAACAUUGAACCAGGACAUUUGGUACUUCGAAGAGUAGCCAACCCUGAAACAGUAGGCAAAUUACAGCUGAAGUGGGAAGACCCCUUUUUGGUAGUAUCUUCGUCAAGACCCGGUUCCUACAGAUUGAAGGAUAUGGAUGGCAACGACAUCCCUAGAUCAUGGAAUGCGGAUGAGCUUCGACGAUAUUAUGUUUAGCUUGAUGUAAUUUUUUCUAUUUUUUUUGUGGCACCCUUUUCCUUUCCAAAGGGGGAGAAAGGUUUUUAAUGGGGCCACAACAUGUAAUUUUCCUUAUUUCAAUUCUAUAAGAGUGAUAUCCCCCAAAAAUGUAAAUGUAAAUGCAAAGGAAAAAAGAAAAAUGAAACAGGGAGAAGCUCAAAAGUCGUUCCUAACGGAAUGCAGAGCUUAUAGCGAAAAAUAAACGCUGAUUCCGCCGAAAGUAAAAGGCGAAGAAGCUCCUAAGGGAGGCUUACAGCGAAAAAUAAACGCUGAUUCCGCCGAAAGUAAAAGGCGAAGAAGCUCCUAAGGGAGGCUUACAACGAAAAGUCAAUGCUGAUACACCGAAAAAUGAACGGUGAAGCCGAAAAGUAAACGACAAAAAAAUUUGAAUCAUUCCUAAGGGGAUGAAGGGCUGUGAUUAUGGUUUUUAAACAUGUGUCCCAAUAUUCAUUUGCACAAAACAUUUCAUCAUGUCAUUUGCAUUCAUAAACAUUCAUUUAGACAUAUGUAGAAUCAUCAUCAUACCACACAAACAAGACAGGUGCUUCAGCAAUGAGGAAAAACUUCGAAGGAAAAAUUUUUAUGCUUCGUUGUGAACGAAAAGAAGGGAAGGUGUUUUUCGCCUUCGGCUCAAAAGAGAAGUUUCGUCCACAGCAAAGCAGAUUGUACACAGAUAGCAGAAACAAAAUAUAUUACAAGGUAUGUACAAAUUUACAUGAGUUGUUUCAUAACUAUAUUACAAAAGUUUCUCUAGAAUUUUUGCAGGAAAAUAUAUUGUAAGCAACUAUCAAACUUCAGGCUAGGCUUCGUCAAACUUUAGCUUCGUCAUUCUUCAGCUUCGUCAUCCUGCGUACAUCAAACAGCAGAAUAAGGUGCAAAUUCAAGGAGAAAGUAAAAAUAACAAAUAUAAGUUUCUUACCGGCUUAAGAUGACUUCGAGCUUCGUCACCUGCCAUUUUUCGCCCGCCACUUACCCAGAUCUGGGUCAUGAAUCUAUUUCCAAUGCUUCGGGCCAGGCUUUGGAUAUCUAUCAGAUCUGAUGCUGAUAAGCUGAAGUUUGGUCUAUUCACAAUAUUUCCAUGCGUACAGCCAGCCUUCAGAAAAGCGGUAGCUGUGCCCCGAGAAGCUACCAGGGCGCAGAAGUCGGCAUGCCCACCAAUAACUUCGUCAAGGGCAUCAACCUCGCCUUCAAUAUAUUCUAAUGUGCUGGGCAGAUUUUCAGCUGAAGGUGUAAAUUUUGCAGAGCUGGCUCCGACAGAAUGAAACACAUCCUUCAGCCGCUGCACGCAUCGGCUGCCGAAGCUUAGGCAUUUCCCUUGAAGUUCCUUCAAGGAUUUUUGCAAAUUUGAAUUUUUGUCCAUUUCAGUUUUAAGGCUUGCUUCAAGGUGUUUCUUUUCUUGCUCAAAUUUUUCUGAUUGUUUCAGCAAUUCAGUCGUUAAGCUGUCGUUCUCUGCUUGUACUCCAGCCAAGGAACCUUCUAUAGACUGGAUAACAAAGUCUUUCUUUUCUAAUGCACCUUCGUGCUCUUUAACCAUGAUUUCAAGGUCUUGGAUGGUGAAGUCCUUCUUUUUCAGAUCAGCUUCGUAAUUUUCAACUUUUUCAGCCAAACCUUGGAUGAUGGCUUUGUUCUUCUCGUCUUCGAGAUCUUGUUGCAUUUUUAGAACCUUACUUAACAAUAUGCUCUGUCAAAACAAUCUUCGUUAAAAAACGACCUAAAUAAUAAUAAUAAUAAUAAUAAAAUAGCAAUAAUAUUUGUUACCUUAAAAUUAGCAUAAAGUAAGCUUCUGGCGAUAUGGUGUCGUUGGUAGCGGCAGAGGUCUGCUUCUAGCUUCGGCAGGCCAAUGUUUUUGGAGAGGGUUCUAACAAUUUUAGCUUCGCUGCGGUUUCGAAGACAUCUCAGCUUUCCUUCGUUAACCCCACCAAACAGUGUAGCCCCUGGCUUAUAUCCACAGGAUAUGGUAUAUUUUUUAAGCUCUUCUUUUUCAGCAUCUGUCAAUUCUUGCCCAAGUAAAUCUUGAAAGUUAAAAUCUUUCUCUUCCAAAAUCUCUUCAACUUGUUUUUUCCCCUUUUCAAUAACUGUGCUCGUUGUAGCCACAGUAGCUUCUUCCUCAGCCAUUUUCAGGAGUAUAUUAUCAAUAACUUCAAGUGUGUCUUCCAGGUUCAGAUCUUCUGUGGCCCCGGUUUCGGCCCCGGUAGCUUUGGCUGCGCCGGUUUCAGUUUCAGGGGUUUCCACUCUGGUGGCUUCGGCUGCGGCGUCUUUUGCUUCGGCGGUCUCGACAAAAGCAACUUUUGACACUGUCGCCGGUGACGGCGUCUGAUGAAUCACAUCUGCUAUCUGAAUAAUUCUUCGUUUUUUCCGUAGUGCAGGGCCUUCUUCUGUCGAAGCUGCUUUGUCCUUCUGAAAAAACUUCGUCAGUUCCGGCGCCAGCGGACUUAGCUUGACAGGCAAGGGUUCAGUCAUUACCUUCAUAAUCUCUUCUACAUCGGCAGAAGAAGGCGUUGUAUGAGUAUCUUCUUCUCGAACCAACGUUUUUGGUUCUGGAGAUGCAGUUUUUCUCUUUCUUGCAGCAGCCACCUUCGGCUCAGGGCUCAGCUUUUCAGGACUCAGUUUUUCAGAAAUCUCAUUUUUCUUUUUGGACACUUUGGUGCUCUCUUUGACAACAGCACUGGCAAUUCUUUUUCUCUUCGGGCCGCCAGCAUCUCCGCCCAAUCGCCCAUAGUCAGGAUAUUCGAAGCCUAUAGCAUCAAGUACUCUGUUUAGCCUUCGUUUCGGCCGGGUGCCGAAGGCUGCUGUCAUCAAUUGGUCCUCCUUUUUAGAGUAAUUUCCAAGAAUUUCAGUACUCAUUAUUUCGAUUGUAUCGAGCCAUUCUUGGCAAGGAGCCUUAAAAUAUUUCUUGAACUUAUAAUGGUAGGGUAGCCGGACAAGCUCCCCUUCUUUUUUCUCCCCUGUAAGCUUCGGCAUAGUCCACUCCUUCAUAGUUGGAAAUACUCUGAAGGCAAGAAAUUCCUGCACUAAAUCCCUAGUGCCAAUGUGCUCUGCAAUAAUUCUGAAUUCAGCCAACGCUUUUUGGGUUGGACCUUCUGGUGUCAUAUUGCAUUGAGGUCGGGUUUCUCCGAAGAUUAGUUCAAGCGGACUCUGCACAAGCUUCUCCUUGUCGUCAUCAACCUUGACGUAGAACCAUUCCGAUUUCCAGCCUGCCGGCCACUUGCUUCAAUAGCUGAUGACAUGAAAUUUCGUGGUUUUUCGAUAUGCAAAGUUGUAACAACCAAAAUUUUCAUGUAGCCCAUCCUUUCUGGCCUUUGUUUGGUAGUGUAGCUCGUGUACUCGGCAGAAACCUUCGGCAAAUGGCUCCAUUGAUUGGCUUCGGAGAGCCCAAAUAUAAACACUAAGCCUAACAAUGGCGUUAGGAGUCAGUUGGUGGAAAUAAAUCCCAAACUUUUGAAGCACAUCAGAAAUCAUCCUAUUCAAAGGAAAUCUCAAGCCAGCUUUAAGAAAACUCUUGAAAAUCACUAUUGCAUCCUUCUCUGGCUUCGAGGUAGUUUCCUCUCAACCGAAGCGAAUCAGUUUUUUCUCAUCUUCGCUGAAGUAGCCCGAUUUCACCAUCUUGGGAAGAUCAGCCUUGGAGAUAGUUGACUUCCCAAAUUCCAGAUGGCUAGGCUUGCUCGGUACUGAGAUAUUGUAAUCAUCGUCAGAGUCAGCCUCCUCAAUAUCUCCUUGUUCUGCUUCGGCAGCGGCUUGUUCUGCUUCGGCAGCGGGAACUUCUUCUGAUGUCACCAAUCCAGAUCGUUGCAUUGCUUCCGAGAUAGGAACAAUCUCUGCACCUUCGGCUUCCUCUCCCUCACGCUCAACUCUAGCAGUAGAGCGCACUCUGGCCAUUUAAUUUUGAAUUUCUUGAAAAAUUUCUUGGAAAAUAAUAGUCUUCUCUUCCGAAGCUAUUCUUCUGACGAAGCAAAUUCUAAAUUGAAGCUUCGUUUGAAUGCGAAAGUUAAGCUUCGGCUAUGGUCAAAAAUUUUGGCAGCAAAACAGUACAAUAGCAAUGAAUGCUGUGGUAACUUCACACCUACCCGUAUGUUUAUAUAGUGUUACAGGUAAGAAGGUGAAUCGUCAGGAUUUUUACACCAGGCAAACAGUUGCUCGCACCCGCUGAACGGUGGGCCGCAAGAACCAGAACAGUAAAUCUGCAUGGUGGGACCGCUGCACGCUUGAAAGCUGUAUCGUUUCUCGACAACGAGCUCAGGGAAGGUGUUUUUCGGACCUUCGGCUUCCUGAAGCCUAAGAGACUUUUUUCACGGAUCAAGCUCGUUACGAAAAACGAUCUAGCACCACGAAGGGGCUACUGUUGGGACCAUGCUUCGUCGCCGAAGGUCCUGCAGAAAGAAACAGCCUCGGCUGAAGCUGCUCGUACGUGAUGCCAAAGGUGCCAUUUCGUGAAGCUUCGGAAUUACAAACCGACUUAAAGAUAGAAUGACCUUUUAGUCCAUAAGAGUCCGAGUCAUUGUUGUAAACUUUUAUGCGGGGUACGAUUGUAAUUCCUCACGGGCUGUGUCCUGUGCCUAUAAAUAGUGAACAAUAUUCCUUUACUGUUCACACAUUCCGGAAAUUGCAAUUGCAUCACUCGGAAAUUAUUCUUUGUCAAGGCAGAGGUAAAAUGUGUCUAAAUAUUAUAUUUGAACAUCUUAAAUUCAUAUAUAAUAAAUAAAUAAUGUUAUUUAUUUCCAAUUCACUUGUUUUUAGUGUUUGAUGACUUACAUUAUUUCACAUUAUCUUUGUGAUUUCGACUAUGAAGGUAUAACCUUCGUAGUUCUGCCAUUAUAACCUUCGUCCGAAGCAUAUCCUUGGGGAAAUAAUGCUUCAGAGGACGAAGGGCAUUGAUAUUUAACAUUUUAUGUUGUCUUGUUCUUAAUUCAUAGCAAUUGAGAACAAGUCCCCAACAGGGGCGCUGUGAGAUAGCUCACACUCUAUUUAGGUCUUUCAAGAAUGAGAUUGGAUUCCUCACCAGGCCUCUUGCUCCUUUCCCAGUUGAUGAGGAAGAAGUUGGAGAUGAUGAAGUUGCUCCUGAGGCUGAUGCAGCUGAGUAGAUGCCUCCUCCACAGUCUGAUCAGUUCUGGCAGCCUGGUCCAGGCUAUUUUGAUCCUUACUUCCAGCACAUGCAGCAAGGGCUCCAGACACAUAUGGAUGGCCGAUUUUAGGGUAUGUUGACCCAUAUGGACCAGCGCAUGGAUGCCAUGCAGACUCACUUUGAUGAUAACUUUGAUGGGCUGCACUCUGAGCUUACUGAGCUUCGCACUCACAUCCAAGACACUGUUCAUGAUCCAAUUAUGACUAGAAUGAACAACAUGCAACAGAGCUUUCAGGAUAAUAUGGGGGCCUUGUCUAGUCAGUUUGACAACCCAUCCACAAAUGAAAGCAUCUAGGAUAUACGUCAGAGGCAACAACAACUCCAUCAUGACUUCGGGCAGUUCUCCUCUGUCUUCGACACUUUCAGCACCCAUUACUACAGCAUGUACCCUCCAUCUAGUGAUCAGUGAGACCCCUCCUUUGUGGCAAUUGAUGCCAAAGGGGGAGUGAAUAAGCUGAAGUUGGGGAUGUCAUAAUCAGGGGGAGCUCAUGUGGACAUUGAGACUUUGCAUAUGCAUGUUUACUAUUUGAACUUUUUGUUUUAUGCAUUUGUUGAACUAUGUCUUGUGUUUGUGGACAAAUGUGUGGUGAUAUUUUGUGGAUUGAACUAUGUCUGUUAAAUCUUAUGUUUCUAUUAGUUCGAAUUAUCCUGUGAAUGGUUGAUCGAGGAGUGAUUAAAUUUGCUGCGCUUAUUUCACAUUAUACUUCUUGUAUGCCUCGAUAACCAUGAUUGUAGGAAGAUCUCCAUCAAAACUCUGAUCGAUUAUGUGUGUCAUAUCUUCAACUAGAAAUAUCAUGCACACAUAUAGGGGGAGCUAUUCCUACACUCUGAGUUUUGUUGAGACUUAUCUAUCUCUCGGAUGGAACUUCAAAUCAAGAUAAGUCUUUUGAAACUCAUCUUUAAAAUCCUUCUUAUACCUAGGGUAUGAGGAAGAUUUGAAAAUCAAAACCUCUCUUGGAUAAAAUGUGUAGUGUUGUCAUCAAUUACCAAAAAGAUUGAGAUUGUGAAUCAUCUAGGCCCCUUAGUGAUGUUUUGGUAAUUAAUGACAACUGUUGGGGACUUGUUCUUAAAUGCUAUGAGUUAAGAGCAAGGCAACACAAAGAAUGUUAAACAUAAAAGUCCUUCGUCCUUCGAAGCAUUAUUUCCCUUGAGAGAUAAUGAUUUUCGGACGAAGGUCACGAAGUACGUACCUUCGUGAAUACAACAUAUAAAUAAUGAAGAAGGAAACAUAUAAAAUAUAAAAGGUAACACCCAACAGUUAUGUAUUGUUAUUAACUCAAUUCUAUUUUAUUAUUAUGGAAAAAUAGAAAUGAGUACAAAUUACAAAUGUACCUUCGGCUUGAAGGAAGGUAAAAGUACAAGCGUGACGCAAAAGCGAAUGCCAAGUCAGCGUGAACAGUAUAGGAGCACUGUUCAUCUAUUUAUAGGCACGAGUUACAGCCCAUGUAAAAUUACAUUCAGGCCCUUUGCAUUUGCUAAUAAUUCUAUAGCAAUUCAUCGAGGUCUAGAUAGCCUUUUCCCUUUUAAGUCAGUUUCCUUUUGAAGCGUCCCGAUCCUUUGGGACUCAAAUGUGAUACAAUUACUAAUCCCAGGAGGCUAGUAAACACAUUCCUUACUUCAAAUAGUACAGAGUUUAGAUAAAGGUUAUUACAAUACCAGGGUACAAGCUCAAGAGAGAGCCAAAAUAAGAAGCGCAGUAGGAAAAUAUACUAGCCCAAGCCACAGGCAGAACUGGGUGCAGACACAGCCCUCUCAAUCAAGCAUAGCAGAAAAGAAGUCAUCGGCUGCUGAAAAACAUAAAUAAAUCUGGGUGAAUACACUAGGUAUUCCGCAAGCCCACCCCGCUCCCGUAGAGAGAAAGAGACCUAUAAUAUACAUGCUUUAUUUGGUGGAGUUGAAGUCACUCUUCAUUUUCUUUAGAGAAAGACAGUUGCUAUAGGUUUUUCCCAAAGACUAUAAAGUAACCAAAAACUCAACCACCACUGAGCUUCCCGCUCCCGUGGCCUUAUUCUCAACACCCACCUACCCACACAUUUCCCUGUUCAUGGAACUCAUAGAAAAAUCUCUAAUUGUCAUACCAUACCAGACUCGUCCAUACCAGUGGACACGGACUAUUCGAAUAGGUUUCAACUCUGCGCAGAGGGGUACACUUUACCCACUAGCCCGGUUUCUGCGAUCUCACCGUCGCGAGACCCGAAUGCCGGAUCUCUUUCCUUCCUCGUAUGUCCUAACCUUAACGGUUAUACCGGAAGGAGUCAGGCCACCACCAUGUCCAAACCGGACAAAACUUUCCCCCUCCUUAUCCUCCCGGUGCUCCCUAGCCUUCAUAACCCUGGGGUUGGACCACACGAGUUCGGAUUGAGUGACUGCCCACACAGUCUCGAGUGGUUGUACUGAUAAGGAGUACAGGUAGUGAAAAUGACAAGUCGGUCCUUAUAUGAGGGGACAAUCCUUCUGCUCACGCCUAAACCAGCUGAGCCAACACCUUAGGCCCUCCCCUAAACCAGGGAGUCCCUGAUCAUCCCACUCCCAAGGUGAUGAGGGUGAGUACCCUUCAUCGCAUAACUUUUGAAAAGAGGCUUUAUUUGAAGAAACACAUUGCCCUUUUUCCAAAUCCACAUUUCGUAUCCAGAAUAUAUAUAUAUCAAUGCGGGCCAUCUCUCACUCACAAUGCAAUUUUCCCACCCCGAAUUCCCGGCCUAGGCAGUGGUAGAGAGAAUAGGAAAUUUAUGCAUCAAGGGAAAGGAUGGACUUGCCUUCGUCGAAGCUUUCCUGGCAUAAAAGAUCUACUUCCGGGAGAUCGGGCUCCGACCCUUCUUCCGGGGCUACGGGUUCUAGAUCCGCCGGUCCCCGCCUCUUCUAUUAAAACAGUCAAUAAACAAUACAUCAACAGUAGUCUACUAAUUGUAGUGUGUCAUUUACCAACAUUAUUAUUACUUAGGACUUUAGAAAUUAUUUGGAUAAUUUUUGGUGCAUAAAAUAUUGAAGAAAACUAAUUAAAUGAGAAAAAGGUGAAGAAAAGAAAAAGAAAAGGGAUUUCUUCUCUGAUGGGCCAGGGGGGGUUCGGCCCAGCCAGGCGCGGAGCAGGCGCGCGCGAGGGCGCCGGCCCAACAGCGGCCCACGGGCGAGGGAGACGGCGCGUGCACGCGGGAGCGACGGCGUCACAGCGGGCCCACUUGCCAGCAAGAGCGGAGGGGGUGGGGUAACGGCGCUACGGUCUAACGGCGCGGGCAAACCGGCCGAGCGGGGGAGAAAAGCCGGCCGCCGGUGGGCUCGAUGGCGAAUUGCCGCCAGUGGCCCGGUUCUUGGUCCACGGGGAGGUGGAUUAGCACGGGCAGGGACUGGCGAUCCAAGGGGUAGGCUUAAUUUGGCUAGAGGGGGCCGAGAGGGGGCUGUCCGCGGGGAUCGCCGCCGGUGGUCUUUGGGUGAGGGACGGGGGCGGGGAAGUGGUGCUUUGCGUUCGCGACAAGGUGGGGAAGCUGCUUGGUUAACUUAAUUGCUUGCUAGACCAACAAAGAGGGAGAGAGAAGAGGGAAAAGAACUCACCGGAGAGGGGGAAGACGGUGGCGCUUCGCGAAUUGCGCUCGGGCGAGGGGAGGAGGGGAGUGGCCGAGGCCGGUGUGGGGAAGGAGGUGCCCGGGGCGACCUUUUUAUAGGCACCCGAGGGGAGGGGAGCGGCGGAGCUCGGCGGGCGUCGGUGAGGUGCACAACGCCGACAUUAAUGCCGCACAGCGGCGCCGAUGAGACUCCACGGCGGGGCGGUACUGGGCAAGGACGUUGGUCAAGCGGUGAGGACGGGGCGGUGCCGAACUCUUCCUGUGCAGCGAGGGGAUGGGCGAGGGGACGGUGAUGGAGGGGACGACAGUGCGUCGUACGCGAGGAAGACGACGCGGCUAACCGGUGGGGCCGGUCUGCCAGUGAGAGGGAGCGCACGAGCGAGAGGGGCUGGCGGGUGGGGCUGGCUUGUCAGCGAGAGCGGGUGAGGGGAGCGCGCGGGCGGCUUCGCGCGUGAGUGGGCCGGCUAAUGGGCCGAGGGGGGGAUGCGCGGGCGCGGGGAGGGGGAAGGCGGCCGCGACAUGGGCCAGAAUUGGCCCAGCAGGGGGGAGAGCUUUUGCUUUUUUUUAAUUUUUAACAACUCAUUUCCAUUUUUGUUUCUUUUCUUUUUGGACAAAUCAUUUAGUGGAUAAUCUAGGUGUUGGAAAAUAAAAUCAAAGUGAGGUGCUUGUGAUCAAACAAAGUGUAUGCAUAUGAUGGGAAAAUCUAAGGGAGUUUUGGAAUAGAAGAUAAAAAGAGGGGAGGGGUAGAUUAGGGUUUCAAACCUGGGUUAGAAUUUUGGGAUGUUACACCUUUUCCCUAUCGUCAUGUCGAAGCUCCCUUGCGCACAGCUUCGACUCUGUUCCAUCCUUCGUUUCCCUUGUGCUUCUUCAUACUAUGAUUUUGACUCAAGUCCGAAGGGUCCAAGUCCGAAGGUACCUGCUCAUGUCUUAUACUCCAAAAACAUUGUUAAAUCACGUUUUUGAGGACCUUCGGAAGCCGAAGGCCCCCAACAGUAGCCCCUCGCAAUAUUAAUUUGUUAGAAUGAUAAAUUCAGAUUGCGAUAUGGACGAAGGCCUUAAGCCGAAGGUCCGAAAAAACACCUUCCCUUUGCUAGAAUAGCAAUAGUCAAUGACAAGCGGGGCCCUGCCACUUGCAACGUAUUGGACGUAUAAAUAAGAGCGCACCGCGAGCACAUUUAGCACGCUUUCUUGCCGUCUGCUCUUGCCUUCCCAAUUUUUAGUUCUUUGCACACCAACGCUUGCCUGGCUUUUUAGAUUUUCUUUAGCUUCGGCUUUAAGAGCACGUUUUCAACAUUUCCAAAGAUGUCUCAAGACAAAAAGCUAUUGCUGAAACGAAGUUGAGCCUUUCUGAGGAGAAGAAUCUUGGCUUUAUUGAAUCGAUAGCAAAGACGAAUACGGAGAAGAUUACUAGGGAGAUUUGAGAAGGUUUAUCUGAAGACACUGGUGAUAGUGACAGUUAUGAUGUGGAAAGUGGCGGAGAAGACUCCGAAGAUCGACCCUGGCGACCAAGUCAUGCAGUUUUUGGAAAAUCAACUAUUAAACAGAGUCAUCUCGAUAAUAUGAGGGGAAGAUAUUUUCGGGACAUGUCUACUGUAAGGGCUGAUGACGGAGAGAGGACUGCGCCUACUCCCGAAGAGAAUGAAGUUGUGAUCUUCCGAAGCUUUUUUAAAGCUGGGCUUCGGUUUCCAUUAAGCAAAUUUGUGGUUGAGGUUUUAAAGAUCUAUCAAGUCUACCUUCAUCAAAUUACACCCGAAGCAAUCAUAAGAAUGGGAAUCUUCGUCUGGGCUGUGAGGAGCCAGGGCUUGGAGCCAAAUGCAAAAAGCUUUUGCAAUAUGCAUGAAUUGUUAUAUGAGACGAAACCCUGGGGCAAAGAGCAAUAUCAUAACAAUUUUGGCUGUUAUAGUUUCGUCGCUCGCUCUGGCUCGAGCUGUCCCGUGCCAACCUUCCGGAAAAGAUGGCCUGGGGACUGGAUGAAGGAAUGGUUUUACAUGAAAAAUGAUUUAAAGGCACGAGAAGACAUCAAAGAUAUUAUCAUGCGUCCUAUCUGGCAGCGCUUCGGCCUUAGGAAGCCGAAGGUGGAAAUUGAUGAUGCAGCCGAAGAAUGCCAAAAGGCCUUCGGCAUAGUCUGCUCUUUCAUCGGAACAAGGGAUUUCGUCUAGGAGCACAUAGCCUUCAGAGUGUGGCCUCUUGUAGAGCAAUGGGAAAUGCCAAAGGAAACCAUCAGCAAGCCUGACGAAGGUGGACUGGUUAGGUUAAAAUACACCUUCAGAUAUGAGGGUAAGUUUAUUGAGCCAGAUGAUGAUUGGCUGAAAUGCAUCGAAGCUACAAGCGACGAACUGCUUGGACCAUAUUCAAAGACAGAAGAUAACGCUCUAUCUGCGACCUUCGGAGGGCGGAAAAAGAAGAGGUUGAAUAGAGUUUUCGAUGCUAUUGGGUUUAUGUACCCUGAUUACCGCUACUCGCUGAAAGGGCAAAAGAGAAAAAACACAACUUCUGGAAAAGGUGAUACUUCGGUUGCUCUAAGUGAGGCUGCGCCAAAGAGGAAAAGAGUGAAGGUCCUUACUCACCGACCACGCUUCAUCGAACCGGCCUCGGUGCCCGAAUUUGGUGGUGAGACCUCUACUGCUACUGAAGCCAAAGAGCCUACACCUUCGCAGAAAAUUGACGAGCUGACUGCAACGCCGAAGGCUGAAAAAAUUGAAGAGUCGAGAGUUGAGAGGACAAGAACAUCAGAACUUUUAAGUCCUUCGGCGGAAAUUGAAGUACCAAAAACCCAAAAAGGUCCAGCAAUGACCCCCAAAAGAAAAAGGAUGGUUAAAGUACUGGAUGUAUUGGAGACAAUAAAGUCUUCAAGCACUACUCCGAAGAAAAUUGCCGAAACUCCCGAAGUGCAAAUUGAAGCCUUUGAUGCCGAAACUACAAAGCACCAAUCUGAGACUGAAGCUGGGCCUUCAGAGCCCGCCAAGGUGAAAUCCUUGGAAACCAAAGAAACAGAAGCAGCAGAACAAAUUUUGGCUGAAGAAACUGGCACUGCCGCCCCCGAAGCAUUUUCCGAAGCCUUCAAUUAUAUUUUACGACAUGCUUCGGGGAAAAAGUUGACUGAAAAAGAAAAGCAAGAGGCUCAGUUCUAUGCCAAAAAUUGAAAUAUCCAAAGGGGGCGUUGAUUUUCAACGGCAGCGGAGAAGAAGACUUCUUGUAUUGUCUCCCAGACAGCAAGGAGAUCUCUGUCUACCGGGAGAUGGCAAGAAGCUUCGGAUUCCCGACGCUAGAAGACGAGCUCUCAGUGUUAUCAAAAGAUGAAUUAGCCGACAGCUUAGCGUACAACAGCUUAAAGGUGAGAAAAUAAGAUUUUUGUACAACAACUUUAAUUCGUUUGUUUAUUCCUAAGACCACAUUCCUUUUGCAGGGCCUUAUUCUUAGCAAUGCCCUCAGGGCUCAAAAAAGCGCUGAAGACGAGGGAUGUACCAUGGCCUUGAAUAACCUUCGUUCCGAAGUAAUUGAGCUAAGGAACGAAGGACUUGAGAAAGAUAAAAUAUUAAACUCAUUACUUAAUAAAAUAAAAGAAGACAAAGCUGCUUCCAAAGCCCAAGCUGAGAUCCAGAAACACGAAAUUGAAGAUCUUCGAAAACAGCUGGCAGGAGAAAAAUUAAAAUGUGCGGUUGCCAAAGCUGACCGAGACGCCAGUGAAUACUGGAAAAAUCACUGGGAGAAAAUAGUUGUGGAGCUUUGUUCUUCAAAAGAGAGAUGCUAUGAAAAAUCUAUGGCAUGUGUAGAAAAGAUAAAAACCAGCUUCGCCAAUAUUGGCGCAUACUCAAAUGAGGAAAACUUCGUAGUAGGCGAUCCCGAAGGUCCAAUCGAAUGGAUCAAGGGCGAAGCCGAAGCCUUUGAGGAAGUUCUGAGUGGCCGUGGAGAUGUCUGCGCCUUCUCAGGUGCCAGAGGAAUUGCGGCUAUCUUAGAGAAGGCGGGAUGCGAGCAUGUGAAGAUUCUGGCCCAAACCGAAGCUGCAUUUUCUAUUGAAGAUACAAGAGACCCUUCGGCUGAGGCAAGCCUGAUUGGCGAAAAGUUUUUUUACUGAUAUUUGGGAAAAUGGUGGCCGAGAGAUGGCCCACGAAAUUAUAAAGAAGAGUGAAAAAGAUACCCAUGAUGCUAGAGAAGCAACAAAGGCAGUUGAAAAAACUGCAGAACUUGAAGGGCAGAUAGGUAUUGUCUAAUUGCUUUUGACUUUAUGCUUUAUUCUUGUGACUUCGAACUUAUUCAUAUUUUAUAUUGCAGUCGAAUUAUCUCCUCCUCCGGAGCCUUUCGAGCCACAAACGAGCCCCAAAGCAAAAAGCGAAGAUGAAAUUAUUAAGAUGGCUGAAGAUAUUAUGGACAAAGUUGUUUUUCAACUACUAAACGAAGCUACAGAAGUAGUUUUAAGAGAAGAAUAGCUAUUGUUGUAAAAACAUUUGGAAUAUUGAUGUAAUAUUUGCUGUACACAGUGUAUAAUAUUCUAUAGUUUUGAAAGUAAUAUAUAAGCUGUGUGUAAUUCGGUUCUUUACGAUGCAUGAAACUUUACAUACAUACCGCUUUUGAGCCUUUGGCGAAAAAACACCUUCCCUUCUUUUCAUGCUUCGUGAAGAAUAUCCAUGUUCGUGAAAAUAUCAUGCUUCUUAAGCAAUAGAUUUCCCGACAUCUUAUUUUGUGCCUUGGCACAAUUUCUUCGAAACAAUUUCCGAAGAUUGAUCAUUGUAUUCCCUUUUUGUGCCUUUGAUGCGAUAUGAUGUAUGAUGUCAUGUUAUGCGAAUGAUGUGAUGAUGCUAUGGUAUGCAAAAUGAUACUUGUACCGAAGAUACACACAUAUUCCCACAGUAGAACACAUUCUCUUUGCCGUUUAUUUUUCGGCUUCACCGCUUAUUUUUCGGUGUAUCAGCGUUGACUUUUCGCUGUAAGCCUCCCUUAGGAGCGUCUUCACCUUUUAUUUCGGCGGUAUCAGCGUUUAUUUUUCGCUGCAAGCCUCCCUUAGGAGCUUCUUCGCCUUUUAUUUCGGCGGUAUCAGUGUUUAUUUUUCGCUGUAAGCUCUGCAUUCCCUUUGGAACGACUUUUGAGGAGAAAACUUACGCUUCGUUCUUUUAAGAACGACUUUUGUUGCUUCGUCAAAACUUUUAGAACUUCGUCGAUUUUUGAGGAAGGUAUAUUACAUUAUGAUAAUGACGAAGCUUUUCAAGAAAUUGAAAACAACAAAAGAACUAAGUUUUCAAUGAUUGCUCUUUAUUGAAAAAGGUAAAUGAUAACAAAUGUAGAAACUGCUUCAGAGGUAGGAUAUAUCUUAGUAGAUGUGCUUCGAUUCUGGCACAGUACUGUUGACUGUGCGAGCUUCGGAUUGCUCCGUGAAGUCUCUCUACUGGUGCGUGUGCUGGCUCCCUUCUGGCUGCUGGCCUUGGGGAUAAGCGGGUUGUAUUGGUGGCAGAGGUGGAGGUUGUUGCCAAGAUGCCUGAGGUUGGCUUGCCGAAGCAACAGAAACUGCAGGAUGGUUGCCCACAUACUCUAGAAUGUACGGUGAGUGGUACGAAGCAGUAUGCAUAACCUGCUUCGACUGGCUCUGUUGGGCUGCAGCUUCUGCUAUCUCUUUCUGUUUCUGGAUGGUGACAUGGCACAUCCUGGUAGUAUGGCCCUUGUCCUCACCACAUAAUAGGCAAUAAAUUUUUCUGGGCUGAUCCCCAAACCUUCCUCCGAAGCCCCUGGUGCCUCUGCCCCUUGGAGCUGGGGGCCAAGGAUAGCUCUGUUGCUGCCCCGAAGCCUGGGAGGAAUACUGCGGCCUCUGCUGCUGACUUCCCCUGUCGUCAUUCUGAGUAGAGUGGAUUGAUCUGAUGUGCCUAGGGUGGACUCUCCCUCUGAAGCCCCUGGUCAUUUCGGAGAACCUGUAAGCUUCCUCCCUUCUUUGUCGAAAGUCAUUAUCUGUGCGGAUAUAUUCAUCCAUCUUUUGAAGCAGUUUCUCCAGGGUCCGAGGGGGUUUCCUGGCGAAGUAUUGGGCCGCAGGUCCUGGCCGAAGUCCCUUGAUCAUGGCCUCAAUGACAAUUUCAUUGGGCACCGUUGGCGCUUGUGCCCUUAAACGCAAGAACCUUCGUACAUACGCCUGAAGGUAUUCUUCGUGAUCUUGUGUGCACUGGAACAAAGCUUGAGCAGUAACCGGCUUUGUCUGAAACCCUUGGAAACUGGUAAUCAGCAUAUCCUUCAGCUUCUGCCAUGAUGUGAUCGUUCCUGGUCGAAGAGAGGAGUACCAGGUUUGUGCAACAUUCUUGACUGCCAUGACAAAAUAUUUCGCCAUGACUGCAGUAUUCCUCUAUAUGAAGAUAUGGUGGCUUCGUAGCUCAUCAGAAACUGCUUCAGAUCUAAGUGUCCGUCAUACAUGGGGAGCUGGGGUGGCUUGUAUGACGGGGGCCAAGGUGUAGCCUGUAGUUCUGCUGACAGAGGAGAAGCAUCAUCAAAAGCAAAAUUUCCUUGAUGAAAAUCUUCAUACCAUUCAUCCUCGUUGUAGAAGCCUUCCCGAUGAAGCUCCCUAUGUUGGGGCCUUCGGUCUUGCUCAUCCUGAGCAAGAUGGCGUACUUCUUCUGUAGGUUCGUCGAUCUGCCUCUGAAGGUCGGCCAGUCGAGCCAUCUUCUCCUUCUUCUUUUGUACUUGAUGAAGCAUCUCCAUGUUCCUGAUUUCUUGGUCCAACUUGUCCUCCUGGGGCGUUGGACUAGUGGCCUUUCUCUUCUGGCUUCGGGCCUCUCGAAGAGAAAGGGUCUUCUGGUUUGGAUCCAGUGGCUGCAGAGCGGCAGCCCCUGUCGCUGAAGCUUUCUUUGGUGGCAUGACGAAGGUCAAUGCCUUCCAAAGGUGGUCGAGAAGAGUUCACCGGAGGUGGCGCCAAUGUUGGGGACUUGUUCUUAAAUGCUAUGUGAUAGUCGCCUAGAGGGGGGUGAAUAGGGCGAAACUGAAAUUUACAAAUAUAAACACAACUACAAGCCGGGUUAGCGUUAGAAAUAAUAACGAGUCCGCGAGAGAGGGUGCAAAACAAAUCUCAAGCAAAUAAGGGGUGUGACACAAGGAUUUGUUUUACCGAGGUUCGGUUCUUGCAAACCUACUCCCCGUUGAGGUGGUCACAAAGACCGGGUCUCUUUCAACCCUUUCCCUCUCUCAAACGGUCCUUCCGACCGAGUGAGCUUCUCUUCUCAAAUCAAAGCCGGGAACAAAACUUCCCCACAAGGGCCACCACACAAUUGGUGCCUCUUGCCUUGAUUACAAUGGAGUUUUGAUCACAAGAACAAGUGAGAAAGAAAAGAAGCAAUCCAAGCGCAAGAGCUCAAAAGAACACGACAAAUCUCUCUCGCUAAUCACUAAAGCCUUGUGUGGAAUUGGAGAGGAUUUGAUCUCUUUGGUGUGUCUAGAAUUGAAUGCCUAGCUCUUGUAAGUGGUUGGGAAGUGGAAAACUUGGAUGGCAUGAAUGGUGGGUGGUUGGGGUAUUUAUAGCCCCAACCACCAAACUAGCCGUUUGGUGGGGCUGACUGUCGUAUGGUGCACCGGACAGUCCGGUGUACACCGGACAUGUCCGGUGCGCCAGCCACGUCACCAAAGCCGUUGGGUUCCGACCGUUGGAGCUCUGUCUUCUAGGCCCGCCUGGAUGUCCGGUGGCGCACCGGACAUGUACUGUAGAGUGUCCGGUGCGCCACUACGCGCGUGCCUGACUUCUGCGCGCUCUGGCGCGCAUUAAUUGCUGUUGCAGGUGACCGUUGGCGCGAAGUAGUCGUUGCCCCGCAGUUACACCGGACAGUCCGGUGUACACCGGACAUGUCCGGUGAAUUAUAGCGGAGCAGCUGUUGCAGUUUCCCGAAGCUGGCGAGUUCCUGAGGCCGCUCCCCCUUGGAGCACCGGACACUGUCCGGUGUACACCGAACAGUCCGGUAAAUUAUAGUGGAGCUGCCUCUGGAUUUUCCCAAAGGCGACGAGAUUGCGCUGGAGUCCUCUGGUGCACCAGACAUGUCCGGUGGGACAGUCCGGUGCGCCAGACCAGAGGUGCCUUCGGUUGUCCCUUUGCUCUUUUGUUGAACCCAAUACUCGGUCUUUUUAUUGGCUAAGUGUGAACCUUUGGCACCUGUAUAACUUAUACACUAGAGCAAACUAGUUAGUCCAAUUAUUUGUGUUGGGCAAUUCAACCACCAAAAUUAAUUAGGGACUAGGUGUAAGCCUAAUUCCCUUUCACUAUGAGUUAACAGCAAGGCAACACAGAGAAUGUUAAACAUAAAAGUCCUUUGUCCUUCGAAGCAUUAUUUCCCUUGAGAGAUAAUGAUUUUCGGACGAAGGUCACGAAGUACGUACCUUCGUGAAUACAACAUAUAAAUAAUGAAGAAGGAAACAUAUAAAAUAUAAAAGGUAACACCAACAGUUAUGUAUUGUUAUUAACUCAUUUCUGUUUUAUUAUUAUGGAAAAAUAGAAAUGAGUACAAAUUACAAAUGUACCUUCGACUUGAAGGAAGGUAAAAGUACAAGCGUGACGCAAAAGCGAAUGCCAAGUCAGCGUGAACAGUACAGGAGCACUGUUCAUCUAUUUAUAGGUACGGGUUACAGCCCAUGUAAAAUUACAUUCAGGCCCUUUGCAUUUGCUAAUAAUUCUAUAGCAAUUCAUCGAGGUCUAGAUAGCCUUUUCCCUUUUAAGUCGGUUUCCUUUUCCCUAUCAUCAUGCCGAAGCUCCCUUGCGCACAGUUUCGGCUCUGUUCCAUCCUUCGUUUCCCUUGUGCUUCUUCAUACUGUGAUUUUGACUCAAGUCCGAACGGUCCAAGUCCGAAGGUACCUGCUCAUGUCUUAUACUCCAAAAACAUUGUUAAAUCACGUUUUUGAGGACCUUCGGAAGCCGAAGGCCCCCAACAACAACUAUUUGUGGACUAACAGUUCUUAGAGAAAUAAGAAUGCAGGUUGGACCACAGAGAACAGAAAAUCUUGGAUACUUAUAAGCAUUGGUUGUGGAUCAAGUGAAGGCAAAGGUAUAACAUAGGUUUUUGUUUUUGCCGGUCUCCAGGAGUUUAGAGAAGACAUUUGACCAGAUUAGUAGGCUAGAUGGCCGUACUAUUAAGAGGGGUCAAUGACUUUGGUUUGUGUAAAACUUAGUGCCUCAUAGAGCAUCAAGUGGUUGCAUUUGCAUGAGGUCUAACAACGCUUCUGGUUUCGAGAGUUAAAAAAAUCUUUUCGAAAGCGUGUUUGAAAAGUUGCUAAGUCAUGGGGUUAGUGGACCAUCCGGGCCAAGUGGCCGGAUCGUCCGCGAUCUAUCCAGAGGGGUCCGAAGUUUGUUCACUUCGGACUGGUCCUGUAUGUUUGUACUGCGGACCGACCGGGCCUUGGGGCCGGACCGUCCGCAGUCCUGACCAGAGAUGGUCACCCUCUGCACAGUCCCUGUAUAAUUGUGCGGACUGUCCGGCCGGGGUCGGCGGAACGUCCGCAGGUGCCAAAUUAGUUUGGGCAGAGACUGUGUAUUUUUGGGCACUUGUACUAUGGACUGUCCAAGGCCUAAGCCCGGACAGUACUAACUCCCAGGUCGCAGACCGUCCGGCCUUGUAUGGCAGACAGUCUGCGAGUGUUAGCUCAUCGUGGUCAGAGCUCUGGUGCUCCAUGUUGCCAGGUUUUGAACGGUCCGACCAAGGUUGGCGGACUGUCCGGACUUCACUUUUUCUGACAGAUCUGACAUAUUUCAAACGGGAAAUCUAGCCGUUACUUGUACGGUGGACCAUCCGGCCUAAGGGCGCGAACCGUCCGCGUGUGCGUAGAAGUUGUGCUAGUUGCACAUAACGGUUAGAAAUGUGAAGUGGGCUAUAAAUAGAACGGGAGCUCGUGUGUGAGGCUUCCCUUGGCCAUUCCUUGCACACUUUGAGCUCAUAUGUGAUCCUCCCACUCAUUCUCUCACACUCCUUGCUUGAGAUUGCAUUCUAGUGAGAGAUUGAGAGCUCCUAGUGCAUUUGCAUCCAUUGGUGAUUCUUGAGGCACUAGGUGGUACACCGGGUAAGCGUCAUCGGCUUGUUACUCUUGGAGGUUGCCACCACCUAGACGGCUCGGGUGUUGUCUCCGUCGAGCUCUCCAAGAAGAUUGUGGAGGAGCCACGGUGUCGAUUGUGAGGGGUUCACGCCUACCUCGCCGGAGCGGCAAAGGCGACGCUAGUGGAAAUGAGGUAUUGAGAGAUUUCUUGUCCACUUGGCUCAAAGAUCAAGCCGCGUCUUGAUAGAGGAGCAAGUGAGAGCUUGAAGUCCACCUCAACGUGGAUUAGGGGUGAUCGGCAAAUCCCCGAUACCAUGGUAUAAAAUCUGGUGUCUUUCUCUUCUCGCAUUACUUAUUACCGCGCAAGUAAUUAGUAUUUUGUGUAUUGUCUCUCUUGUAUACAAUUACCAUAGUUGUUUCUCAUAGAUUGCUUACUUGUUGUCUCUAGAGAAUUUAUACCUCUUUCCAUAUUGAUUAAAUUUCUCUAGUGUUAUUUAUUUUAGUCAAAACCGUCUAUUCACCCCCUCUAGCCGGUGUCCUAGAUCCUACAGUAGAUGCCACGGUUGAGGCCCAUUCUCGAACAAUUGGUGGGUGUGAUGGUGACAACCUCCUCCUCCUCUGCGUCGGUGUUGGGGACGAGCGCGGGAUUCAUCGCCUGGUCUGGUGACGGCAAGGAGAAACGGAGGCGGCGGACUUCGUCGGACAACUCCAUCCCGCCGAUGAGGACCUUCUCGUCCGGGUCCCGAUGGAACAACAUCGUGCCCUUGGGGAGGCAUGGGUAGCGCGGUGAUCCGCUGCUGUCGACGUUCGAGUCGAGCGUCACGUCGAGGUCGAGCGGCGCAUAGACGAGGACACCGCCUGAAUCGUUGUCAGCCGCGUUGGCGCUCGUGGCAUCCUCGUCCAACACGUUGAGCUCCUGGAGGAGGUUGUCGUCGAGGUUGACGGGAGUAUCGACAAACGGUUGUGGCAUGGUGUAGCAGUCGUCGUCGUAGAGCGGUGGGAUACCGAGCCGGCGAGGAGCGUGGACGCCACCUUCGCCGCGUCAUCGUGGACAAGAGGCGAAAGACUUGCCUCGUCAUGGUACUGUGUGUUGACAACAAAAGAAGGAGGUGCGGAUCCGUCGAAGGAGGAAGUGCGCUCGCGUGCGGACUGCUCGUCGCAGCGACCAGCCAGCGCAUCGGUCAUGCAUGCCUCCGUUCGCGCCAGCGUGUCUGAGAAUACCCUGCAUCGCUGCCUCCAUGGAGUCCAUCACGGAUGAUCGGGGUCACCACGACACAGCAGCGAACGGAUCCAGAAUACCCUGCAUCGCCGCCUCCAUGAACGCCUCCAUGGCAAAUGUUUCUUGCAAGUCAACAAUGUGAUUCUCUUGCUUCGUGCUCUUUACUAUGAUAUCAUCAACAUAAGUCAGCAUUUUUGAGCCCCUCAAGCAUCCAAAGGUAGCAAUAGGUACCACUAGGAGUUAUGAAGCUGGUCUUUGGCUCAUCUUCCUUCUUCCAAAUUUGAUGAUAGCCUGAAUAGCAGUCCGGUAGACUCAUGAGCUCCGAAGAAGCUGCUGCAUCUACAAGGGAGUCUAUUCUUGGCAAUGGGAACUCGUCCUUUGGGCAUGCCUUGUUGAGAUCUAUGAAAUCAAUACACAUUCUCCAUUUACCAUUAGCCUUCUUCACCAUAAUAGUGUUGGCUAACCAUUCUGGAUAUGUUACUUCUCUGAUAACACCGGCACUGAGGAGUCUCUUAACUUCGUUCCGAGCACCUUCAGCUUUAUCAUCAGACAUCUUCCGAAGUCUUUGCUUCCUUGGCUUGAAAGAUGGAUCCACAUUAAGUGAAUGCUUGAUGACAUCUCUGUUGACACCACAAAGAUCAUUGGCUGACCAAGCAAAGACAUCUUUGUUGUUGAACAAAAAUCUUAUCAAAGUUUUUUCCUGCUCAUCAGAUAGCUGAGAUCCCAACAGUACCCUUUGAUCUGCUGUGUCUUCACAUAAAAGCAUAGGCUUCGGUUGGUCUGCCGAAGCAGCCUUCUCUCUUUUGUGCUUAUAUUAUUGACAAACUUUGGCUCCAUCUAUAUUAUGUAUUUCCUUUGAAUCUAUCCAACUCCCUUCAGCCCUUCUAGCAACUUCUUGACUUCCGUGGACAUCAAUGAGCCCUUGUUCCGAAGGUAUCUUCAUGCAUAAGUAUGCUGGAUGAAGUAUUGCUUCGAAGGCAUUAAGUGUCCCUCGACCAAUGAUUGCAUUAUAUAGGUAUUCCAUGUCAACAAUGUCAAAAACAACUUGCUCAGUUCUUGUGUUGUGGACAUAGUCGAAGGUAACUGGCAUUGUGAUUUUUCCAAGUGCCACAAUCUGUCGUUCUCCGAAGCCACAAAGAGGGUGUGUAGAAUCAUGAAUCUUGUCCUCUGGUUCUUGCAUCUGCUUGAAGGCCUUUGCAAAUAUAAUGUCCACUGACUGCCUGUGUCAACCAGAACAUUGUGGACCAGAAAACCCUUGAUGAUACAAGAUAUGACCAUAGCAUCAUUGUGAGGAUAAUCUUUUAGCUGAAGAUCCUCCUGGAAGAAGGUGAUUGGGAUGUGGGACCAUUUGGACCUGACGAAGGGUCCUUGCACCCCAACAUGCUGCACUCUUCUUUGCGCUUCCUUCUUUUGCUUCUUGUUGGUUGGCUCUGAACCUGAACCACUCGUUAUUGGGAGCACCAGCUUCAUAGUCGAAGGUGCUGCAACUUGGUUGCUGAACGAAGCCAUCAACUCAAUUGUGGAAGUGAGUUCACAGGAGGUGGGCACCAAUGUUGGGGACUUGUUCUCAAAUGCUAUGAGUCAAGAACAAGGCAACACAAGACAUUAAUGGUUAAAGUCUUCGUCCUUCGAAGCAUUAUCUCUCUUAGGAUAUAAUGAUCUUCAGACGAAGGUUAUGAAGGUCGUACCUUCAUCAUCACAGUGCAUAAUAAUGGAAGUAGAAGCAUAUGAAACAUGAAAAGUAUCAUGAAUAAUCAUAUGAUAUCAUUUAUAUAUCUUUAUUAUAGUAUUAUCAAUGAAUAUAAACAAUGUUGAAUUACAUUUAUACCUUCGGCUUGACAGAAGGCGGAAAUCCAAGUAUGACGUGCGAGUGAAUACAAGUCAGCGUGAACAGUACAUGGUUACUGUUCACCUAUUUAUAGGCACGGGACGCAGCCCGGUCGAAAUUACAUUUGUGUCCUUGAUGACAAAUUACAAAUGCGACACAAACUAUUAGGGACUUAACAAUAUUUUCCUCUUUAAGUCGGUGCCGCCCUUCGUCUCAAAGCAUGUCACUAUGUCGAAGCUCCCUGGAUCGUAGCUUCGGCCUGUACCUUCGUGCUGUGUCUGCUUAUGUGCCAACUUGCCGAAAGUGUUUUUGCUUAGAGGACCUUCGGCGACGAAGCAGGCCCCCAACAGUGGUAGUUCUCAUUCCUUCUUACAUGAGAAAUUUUAGUCCUUAUUGCCCAAUAUUCAGUUGGUUUCUACAUCCAUGCAAGUGCGAGUGGCUAGUGGAGCUGUAUUGAGGUGCCAGCACAAAUUUUAACAGUUGCAGUGGCAUUUGCAAGGGUGUGCUUUCCAUACAGAUGUCACUUUGCAGCCUCUACUAUGUUAUGACAUGAUUCUGGGAAUGGAUUAGCUUCAGUCAUUUAGUCCCAUGAGGGUACAUUGGGCACAUAAAUGGUUAUCUAUUCCCUAUCAAGGAAGAACUAUCACAUUACAUGGACAAUCAGCUGUUAUACCCGAAUGUACCAUUGUUGAACUCCUGCUAGUCUCUUCUUCAAGUACAGCACAACCAGAAUUGCAUCCUCAAAUUCAGUUGUUGUUACAACAGUAUGUUUCAGUUUUUGUAGAUCCAGUGGGCCUUCCACCUUCAUGGGACUAUGAACAUGUUAUUCCAUUGAUUCAAGGGGCUCAACCAAUGUCUGUCAAAGCAUAUAGAUACCCGCCGCAAUUGAAAUACGAGAUUGAAUGACAAAUCACUACCAUGCUUUAGCAGGGUGUCAUCUAGAAGAGUAAUAGUUUCUUUGCUUCACCAGUUUUAUUGGUUAAGAAAAAAGAUGACACCUGGCGUUUUUGUGUUGAUUAUCGUUACUUAAAUGCUCUCACUAUCAAGAGUAAAUACCCAGUGCCUGUAUUUGACCAACUCAUUGAUGAGCUUGCACAAUCUUGUUGGUUCAGUAAAUUGGACCUUAAAGUUGGUUACCAUCAAAUUCUGUUGCGAGUCGGGGAAGAGUAUAAAACGACAUUCCAAACUCAUGUCGGUCACUAUGAGUUUCAGGUGAUGACCUUUGGACUCACUGGGGCACCGAAUACAUUUCUUGAGGCUAUGAACUCUACACUUAAAUCAGUGUUAUGAAGAUGUGAAUUAGUGUUCUUUGAUGAUAUUUUAAUUUACAGCUCUACAUUUGAGAACCAUAUUUCCCAUUUAUCUGAAGUCUUGAGUCCGUUAUCCUGUGACCAGUGGAAAGUGAAGAUAUUCAAGUGUGAAUUCGCGCAACAGCAGAUUAUUUAUCUGGGACAUGUCAUCAGUGCUCAGGGCGUAUCAACUGAUCCUAACAAAAUCUAGGUUAUUGAACAGUGGCCAAUACCGGUUAAUGCUAAGGACCUACGAAGUUUUUUGGGACUUGCGGGGUUCUAUCUCAAGUUUGUUUGCAACUUUGGCAUUAUCAGUCGUCCUCUAUUCAAUUUGCUUAAGAAAAAUGCAGUCUUUGUUUGGACCAUCGAUCAUCAGCAGGCUUUUCAGUUGCUUAAAAAUGCCCUAGUGACUACACAUGUAUUGGCAUUACCAGAUUUUUCCAAACCAUUCACAAUUCAUACUGAUGCGAGUCAAUUUGGUGUGGGUGCUAUACUGAUGCAGCAGGACCAUCCUCUGGCGUUUCUCAGCCAUGCUUUGGGGCCUAAGAACCAUGGGCUGUCAACCUACGAGAAAGAGUAUAUGGCCAUACUUCUAGCAGAUAAUCAGUGGUGUUCUUACCUGUAAUUGGCGGAGUUUAUUAUUUACACCGACCACAUCAGUCUUACAAAGAAACCAAGGUCGCUCUUAACCGUGAGCACUGCUGAUAUACCAGUUUCUAACACUCUGCAGAGGUUGCACACUUUACCCACAAGUCGUGAUUCCCAUUCUGCCCGAAGAUCAUGACUCUCCAUUGAUCACUACCAAGAUGACCUAGCAAGGUCUCACUAUGUAGCCUUUACAAAGAUUCCCCAGAGGUCAUAGUCGCCCGUUAGGUUUCUCCAGUUUGAUAAACACGAUACUUCUCCCAACAGGAAGGGUGACUAACAAAACCAAAUCAAAGAACCUCUGCAACUAGCCUCGACAGAGCAAGUAUUGUGCCCGGACCCCAUUGAUGGCCCUACGGCGAAGCCAACUACGCCUCAAGUUUCUCUAAUUAAUCAGCUAAGGGCGUCCUAUUCCAAUUUCCACCCUCAUGGUUGUACUGUUAUCCUGGGUGGUCACUCAACGAACAGGUCCUUACGGAGAGGUACUUAGGAAACAGCCUGAGUCCCCUAGAGUAUCACAAGAUCAUCAUCGAGAUAAUAACAUCGUAUCAUAAAUAUUCACAUCAUGUUCGUUGAUUAAGUUAAAGCAAUAGCAUAAAGCUAACCAUGAUAACCCAAAAGGUAAACAAGGAUAAGGUAAAUACAGACUAGUCAAUCCUUAGGUUUCAAUAAAGUAAUGUGUUUAUUGUGGGACGGUGAAUUAUAAAGUGAGAGCACCUAGAGGGGGGGGUGAAUAGGUGAUCCUGUAAAAACUUAAAACUUAAAGCCACAAAACUUGAUUAAGAGUUAGCACAAUGAAUUCAAGUGGCUAAAGGAGAGCUCUUGUGAAAUAAAAUAAACACAGUGAGAACAAGCACAAGAGAUACGAGGAUUUAUCCCGUGGUUUGGCCAAGUAUAACACUUACCUAUUCCACGUUGUGGCGUCCCAAUGGACGAGAGUUGCACUCAACUCCUCUCAAGUGAUCCAAUGAUCAACUUGAAUACCACGGUGUUCUUCUUUCUUUACUCUUUCCCGUUUGCGAGGAAUCUCCACAACUUGGAGUCUCUCACCCUUACAAUAAGGAUCAAAGUGAAAGCACUAGAGUAAGGGAGGGAAGCAACACACAUAAAUCCACAGCAAUACGCACACACAUAGCUAAGACUUGAGCUCAAAUGAAUAACACAAGGUUCACCACUAGAACGAAGCUCAAAUCACUAAGAAUGCCAAUCGAGUGCGCAAAGACGGAGUGUGAAUGAUCAAGAAUGCUUAGAGUUUGCUUGGUGUGCUCCUCCAUGCCCCUAGGGGUCCCUUUUAUAGCCCCAAGGCAGCUAGGAGCCGUUGAGAGCAAUCCAGGAAGGCUAUCCUUGCCUUCUAUCGGGUGGUGCAUCGGACUGUCCGGUGCUGAUUGCUUUCCUAUUCUGGCGCGGCCGACCGUUGAAGAUUUGGAGUCGUUGGCGCACCGGACAGUCAGGUGCCCCUAUCAGACUGUUGGCUCGGCCACGCGUCACGCGCGGAAUGUGCGGCCGACCGUUGGCUCACCGGACAGUCCGGUGCACCACCGGACAGUCUGGUGAUUUUUAGCCGUAUGCCGCCGACGAAAUCUCGAGAGCGGCCAGUUUGACCAAAGCCAGCCUGACGCAUCGGACACUGUCCGGUGCACCACCGAACAGUCCGGUGCACCCAGACUGAACAACAGUUAGCCAACUCUUUUUUUCUUUUGUCUUUUCUCUGAUUCUAGCACUUAGACAAAUAUGUUAGUACACAAAAUCCAAUGUACUAAGUCUAGAAUCAUACCUUUGUGUUGAUUUGCACUUCUUCCACCAUUUGGCAUAGUUUCACACUUAAACCAUUUGUGUUGGCACUUGAUCACCAAAAUACUUAGAAAUGGCCCAAGGGCACAUUUCCCUUUCAAUCUCCCCCUUUUUGGUGAUUUAUGCCAACACAACACAAAGCAACUAAAAGAAGUGCAACAUCAAUGCGAAUGAGUACACAAAUUUGUUUUGAUUCAAAUUUGGCAUAUUUGGAUCAUUCUUUGCCACCACUUGGUUUGUUUUUGCAAAUCAAACUCAAUUUCCUAUCUCUAAGUCAAAUUCACUUGUUGAGGCAUAGAGAGAGGUAUUCCAAGAGAAAUUGAUCAAAGAUUCAAAAACUCCCCUCUUUUUCCAUAAUCAAACAUUCUCCCCACAAGAGACCAAUUUUUGACAAUAAGAGACCAUAAGAGUAUUUUGACAAAACAAAAGCUCUAACUCUACUAUUUUUCAAAAUUCUCAAGUGGUAGCUGAUCCAUUUCUUGCUUUGGCCUUAGUUUCUCCCCCUUUGGCAUCAAACACCAAAACGGGAUCAUUUUUGGCCCUUAAACCCCAUUGCCUCACCAAAAUCUUCAAAUAAGAAUAAAAGACAAUAAGAGUAUGGAGAUGAACUUGGAGUGAGUUACCCUCUCAUCGGAGUGUAGUGGAAGUCUUUCAUGGUCCAAGUCCACCUUUCCCUUUCAAUCCACUUUUGAGACUAAAGCAUGUAAACUCACCCACAAGGUUAGUCUCAAAGUGUCAAGUUGGAGCAUGUCUCCCCCGCAAUAAGCGCAUCACUUGCACAUGGACUUGUGAGGUCCGGGGAUCAUGUGUACAACUUGAGCACCAUACAUAAACAACAAAUCUCAUAAAUGCAUAAAGUAACUUGAUCAAAUGCAUAAAACACAUGUAUGCUAUAAAUCAAUCCAAGUUACGCGAAUCUAAGACAUUUAGCUCACUACACAGCCUGCAAAAGGUUGACUCAUCUAGAGGCUUGGUAAGGAUAUCGGCUAGCUGGUUUUCGGUGCUAACAUAGAACACUUCGAUAUCUCCCUUUUGCUGGUGGUCUCUCAAAAAGUGAUGCCAGAUGUCUAUAUGCUUUGUGCGGCUGUGUUCAACAGGAUUAUCCGCCAUGCGGAUUGCACUCUCAUUGUCACAUAGGAGUGGGACUUUGCUCAGAUUGUAGCCGAAGUCCCUGAGGGUUUGCCUCAUCCAAAGUAGUUGCGCGCAACACUGUCCUGCGGCAACAUACUUGGCCUCAGCGGUGGAUAGGGCAACGGAAGUUUGUUUCUUAGAACUUCAAGACCCCAGGGACCUUCCUAAGAAUUGGCACGUCCCUGAUGUACUCUUCCUAUCAACCUUGCAUCCAGCAUAAUCGGAGUCUGAGUAUCCAAUCAAGUCAAAGGUUGACCCCUUUGGAUACCAGAUCCCGAAGCAAGGCGUAGCAACUAAAUAUCUAAGAAUUCGCUUAACGGCCACAAGGUGACACUCCCUUGGAUCAGAUUGAAAUCUAACACACAUGCAUACACUUAGCAUAAUAUCCGGUCUACUAGCACAUAAGUAAAGCAAGGAACCUAUCAUAGACCGGUAUGCCUUUUGAUCAACGGACUUACCUCCUUUGUUGAGGUCGACGUGUCCGUCGGUUCCCAUUGGAGUCUUUGCGGGCUUGGCGUCCUUCAUCCAAAACCGCUUGAUCAAGUCUUACAUGUACUUCGUUUGGGAGAUGAAGGUGCCGUCCUUGAGUUGCUUUACUUGGAACCCAAGGAAGUAGUUCAACUCUCCCAUCAUUGACAUCACAAUUUUUUGAGUCAUCACCCUGCUAAACUCUUCACAAGACUUUUGGUUAGUAGAACCAAAUAUUAUGUCAUCGACAUAAAUUUGGCAUACAAAUAAGUCACCAUCACAUGUCUUAGUGAAAAGAGUUGGAUCGGCUUUCCCAACCUUGAAAGCAUUAGCAAUUAGAAAGUCUCUAAGGCAUUCAUACCAUGCUCUUGGGGCUUGCUUAAGUCAAUAGAGCGCCUUAGAGAGCUUACACACGUGGUCGGGGUACCGUUCAUCCUCAAAGCCAGGGGGUUGCUCUACGUACACCUCCUCCUUGAUUGGCCCGUUGAGGAAUGCGCUCUUCACAUCCAUUUGGAACAACCUGAAAGAAUGGUGACAUAGGCUAACAAAAUGCGAAUAGACUCUAGCCUAGCCACAGGAGCAAAAGUCUCCUCAAAGUCCAAACCUGCGACUUGGGCAUAACCUUUUGCCACAAGUCUAGCCUUGUUUCUUGUCACCAUUCUGUGCUCGUCUUGUUUGUUGCGGAACACCCACUUGGUUCCCACAACGUUUUGCUUUGGACGUGGCACCAGGGCCCAAACUUCAUUUCGCUUGAAGUUAUUGAGCUCUUCCUGCAUGGCCAACACCCAGUCCGGAUCUAGCAAGGCAUCUUCUACCCUGAAAGGCUCAAUAGAAUAGACAAAAGAGUAGUGCUCACAAAAAUUAACUAAUCUAGAGCAAGUAGUUACUCCCUUGCUUAUAUCACCUAAAAUCUGGUCGACGGGAUGAUUCCUUUGAAUCGUCGCUCGGACUUGAGUUGGAGGGACUUGAGGUGCUUCUUCCUCCAUAACAUGAUCAUCUUGUGCUCCCCCUUGAUCGCACGCCUCUUGAUGAACCUGUUCAUCAGUUUGAGUCGGGGGAUGCACCAUUGUUGAGGAAGAAGGUUGAUCUUGCUCCGUUUGUUCCUGUGGUCGCACAUCUCCAAUCGCCAUGGUGCGUAUUGCGGCCAUUGGAACAUCAUCUUCAUCUACAUCAUCAAGAUCAACUUGCUCUCUUGGAGAGCCAUUAGUCUCAUCAAAUACAACGUCGCUAGAGACUUCAACUAAACCCGAUGAUUUGUUGAAGACUCUAUACGCCUUUGUAUUUGAAUCAUAACCUAACAAAAACCCUUCUACAACUUUGGGAGCAAAUUUAGAAUUCCUACCUUUCUUCACUAGAAUGUAGCAUUUACUCCCAAAUACACGAAAAUAUGAACCCUUGGGUUUGUUACCGGUUAGAAGCUCAUACAAAGUCUUCUUGAGGAGGCGAUGAAGGUAGACCCGAUUUAUGGCGUGGCAAGCCGUGUUCACGGCUUCCGACCAAAACCGCUCGGGCGUCUUGAACUCUCCAAGCAUCGUCCUCGCCAUGUCUAAAAGCGUCCUGUUCUUCCUCUCUACCACACCGUUUUGCUGUGGUGUGUAAGGAGCGGAGAACUCGUGCUUGAUUCCUUCCUCCUCAAGGUACUCCUCCACUUGAAGGUUCUUGAACUCGGACCCGUUGUCGCUCCUUAUCUUCUUCACCUUGAGCUCAAAUUCAUUUUGAGCUCUCCUUAGGAAGCGUUUAAGGGUCCCUUGGGUUUCUUUUUUAUCCUGCAAGAACAAUACCCAAGUGAAGCGGUAAAAUUCAUCAACUAUAACAAGACCAUACUUACUUCCCCCGAUGCUGAGGUAGGCGACGAGUCCAAAGAGAUCCAUAUGAAGUAGUGCCAGGGGUCUCGACGUGGUCAUCAUGUUCUUGCUGUGAUGAGCAUUUCCCACUUGUUUUCCUGCUUGACAAGCUGCACAAGGUCUAUCUUUUUCGAAAGUUACAUUUGUUAGACCUAACACAUGUUCUCCCUUUAGAAGUUUGUGAAGGUUCUUCAUCCCCACAUGUGCUAAUCGGCGAUGCCACAGCCAGCCCAUGCUAGUCUUAGCAAUUAAGCAUGCAUCUAGACCGGCCUCUUCCUUUGCAAAAUCAACUAAAUAGAGUUUGUCAUCUAGUACACCCUUAAAAGCUAAUGAACCAUCACUUCUUCUAAAGACAGACACAUCUAGAUUUGUGAAUAAGCAAUUAUAACCCAUAUUACAAAGUUGACUAACGGACAACAAGUUAUACCCGAGCGACUCAACUAAAAACACAUUAGAAAUGGAGUGCUCGAAUGAAAUAGCAAUCUUUCCUAGUCCUUUAACCUUGCCUUGAUUCCCGUCACCGAAUAUGAUUGAAUCUUGUGAAUCUUUGUUCUUGACGUAGGAGGUGAACAUCUUCUUCUCCCCCGUCAUGUGGUUUGUGCAUCCGCUGUCGAUAAUCCAGCUUGAGCCCCCGGAUGCAUAAACUUGCAAGGCAAUUUAGGCUUGGGUCUUAGGUACCCAACUCUUGUUGGGUCCUACAAGGUUAGUGACAAUAGUCUUAGGGACCCAAAUGCAAGCUUUAUCUCCCUUGCAUUUUGCCCCAAAUUUCCUAGCAAUCACUUUCUUAUUCUUUAUACAAAUUUCAAAGGAAGCAUUGCAAGCAUGGUAAAUUGUAGAAGGUUCAUUAAUUACUUUCCUAGGAACAUGAGCAACAUUUCUCCUAGGCAUAUGAUGAAUGACAUUUUUCCUAGGCAUAUCUCUACCAUGCACAUAGGAAGAACUUGAGGCAAACAUGGCAUUUGAAUCAUAAGCAUUAAAACUCCUAUCAUGAUGAACAUUUCUAGAAAAUUUCCUAUCAUAAAUAAAUGCAUGAUUCUUUUGAGCACUAUUAGCCAUAGGAGCCUUCCCUUUCUCCUUGGCGGAGAUGGAAGCCUUAUGACUUGUUAAGUUAUUGGCUUCCCUUUGAAAACCAAGCCCAUCCUUAAUAGAGGGGUGUCUACCAAUAGUAUAGGCAUCCCUUGCAAAUUUUAGUUUAUCAAAAUCAUUUUUGCUAGUCUUAAGUUGGGCAUUAAGACUAGCCACUUCACCAUUUAAUUUUGAGAUGGAAAUUAAGUGUUCACUACAAGCAUCAACAUUAAAAUCCUUACACCUAUUGCAAAUCACAACAUGUUCUACACAAGAGCUUGAUUUAUUAGCUAUUUCUAACUUAGUAUUUAAAUCAACAUUAAUACUCUUUAAGCUAGAAAUAGAUUCAUGGCAUGUAGAUAAUUCACAUGAAAGCAUUUCAUUUCUUUUAACUUCUAAAGCAAAAGAAUUUUGCGCACUAACAAAUUUAUCAUGCUCUUCAUAUAAAAGAUCCUUUUGCUUCUCUAACAAUCUAUUCUUCUCAUUCAAAGCAUCGAUUAAUUCAAUCUUAUCAAUUUUAGUUCUAUCUAAACCUUUGAAUAAGCUUGCGUAGUCUACUUCAUCAUCACUAGACUCAUCAUCACUUGAAGAAGCAUAUGUAACAAUACUUCGAGUAUUUACCUUCUUUUCCUUUGCCAUGAGGCAUGUGUGAUGCUCGUUGGGGAAGAGAGCCGACUUGUUGAAGGCUGAGGCGGCGAGUCCUUCGUUGUCAGAGUCGGACGAGGAGCAAUCCGAAUCCCACUCCUUUCCAAGGUGUGCCUCGCCCUUCGCCUUUUUGUAGGUCUUCUUCUUUUCCCACUUUCCGCUCUUUCCUUGUUCCUGAUCACUAUCAUUGUCGGGAUAGUUAGCAAUAAAGUGACCAAUCUUACCACACUUGAAGCAGGAGCGCUUUCCCUUCAUCUUGCUCUUGUAGGGAUGCUCCUUGUGACCUUUGAGCGCCGUCUUGAAGCGCUUGAUGAUGAGGGCCAUUUCGUCCUCAUUUAGCCCGGCCGCCUCAACUUGUGCCACCUUGCUAGGUAGCGCCUCCCUGCUACUUGUUGCUUUGAGAGCAACAGUUUGAGGCUCGUAGAUCGGCAUUGGGCCAUUCAAUGCAUCAUCAACAUAUCUUGCCUCCUUGAUCAUCAUCCGCCCGCUUACAAACUUUCCGAGUAUUUCCUCGGGCGUCAUCUUGAUGUACCUAGGAUUCUCACGAAUAGAGUUUACAAGAUGAGAUCAAGGACAAUGAAGGACCUUAGCAUAAGUCGGACGACGUCGUGGUCCGUCCAUCUCGUGCUCCCAUAGCUCCUUAUCUUGUUGACCAGGGUCUUGAGCCAAUUGUACGUUUGAGUUGGCUCCUCUCCCCUUAUCAUUGCGAACCUUCCAAGUUCGCCUUCCACCAACUCCAUCUUGGUGAGCAUGGUGGCGUCGUUCCCCUCAUGCGAGAUCUUGAGGGUGUCCCAGAUUUGCUUGGCAUUAUCCAAGCCGCUCACCUUAUUGUAUUCUUCCCUGCACAAGGAUGCUAAAAGAACAGUAGUAGCUUGUGCAUUUUUAUGGAUUUGUUCAUUGAUAAACAUAGAAUUAUCCCAACUAUCAAAUUGCAUUCCAUUUUCUACUAUCUCCCAUAUACUUGGAUGAAGAGAGAACAAAUGGCUAAGCAUUUUGUGACUCCAAAAUCCGUAGUCCUCUCCAUCGAAGUGUGGAGGUUUACCAAGUGGAAUGGAAAGCAAAUGAGCAUUGGAAUUAUGCGGAAUACGAGAAUAAUCGAAAGAAAAGUUCGAGUUAACCGUUUUCUUUUUCUCCUCGUAUUCGUCGUCCUUUUGAGAAGAGGAAGAUUCGUCGCUGUCGUAGUAGACAUUCUUCUUGAUGCGCCUCUUCUUCUUUCCAUCCUUCUUCUUUUGACUUGCGCCCGAGUCAGUGGGCUUGUUGUCUUUUGGCUCAUUGAUGAAGGAUUCCUUCUCCUUGUCGUUGAUCACCAUCCCCUUUCCCUUAGGAUCCAUCUCUUCGGGCGAUUAGUCCCUUUCGUGAAGAGAACGACUUUGAUACCAAUUGAGAGCACCUAGAGCUCUUGUGAAACACAAUAAACACAGUGAGAACAAGCACAAGAGAUACGAGGAUUUAUCUCGUGGUUCGGCCAAGUAUAACACUUGUCUAUUCCACGUUGUGGCGUCCCAAUGGACGAGAGUUGCACUUAACUCCUCUCAAGUGAUCCAAUGAUCAACUUGAAUACCACGGUGUUCUUCUUUCUUUACUCUUUACCGUUUGCGAGGAAUCUCCACAACUUGGAGUCUCUCGCCCUUACAAUAAGGAUCAAAGUGAAAGCACUAGAGUAAGGGAGGGAAGCAACACACACAAAUCCACAGCAAUACGCACACACAUAGCUAAGACUUGAGCUCAAAUGAAUAACACAAGGUUCACCACUAGAACGGAGCUCAAAUCACUAAGAAUGCCAAUCGAGUGCGCAAAGACGGAGUGUGAAUGAUCAAGAAUGCUUAGAGUUUGCUUUGUGUGCUCCUCCAUGCCCCUAGGGGUCCCUUUUAUAGCCCCAAGGCAGCUAGGAGCCGUUGAGAGCAAUCCAGGAAGGCUAUCCUUGCCUUCUGUCGGGUGGUGCACCGGACAGUCCGGUGCACCACCGGACACUGUCCGGUGCUCAUUGCUUUCCUAUUCUGGCGUAGCCGACCGUUGAAGAUUUGGAGCCGUUAGCGCACCGGACACUGUCCGGUGCACACCGGACAGUCUGGUGCCCCUAUCAGACCGUUGGCUCGGCCACGCGUCACGCGCGGAUUGCGCGGCCGACCGUUGGCGUGGCCGACCGUUGGCUCACCGGACAGUCCGGUGCACCACCGGACAGUCCGGUGAUUUUUAGCCGUACGCCGCCGACGAAAUCCUGAGAGCGGCCAGUUUGACCAAAGCCAGCCUGGCGCACCGGACACUGUCCGGUGCACCACCGGAUAGUCCGGUGCACCCAGACUAAACAACAGUUAGCCAACUCUUUUUUUCUUUUGUCUUUUCUCUGAUUCUAGCACUUAGACAAAUAUGUUAGUACACAAAAACCAAUAUAUUAAGUCUAGAAUCAUACCUUUGUGUUGAUUUGCACUUCUUCCACCAUUUGGCAUAGUUUCACACUUAAACCAUUUGUGUUGGCACUUGAUCACCAAAAUACUUAGAAAUGGCCCAAGGGCACAUUUCCCUUUCAUAAAGUAUGUAGGACAUAAUAGGUCAGAGGACACUUGCCUUGACCAGGUUGUUGCUCAGGAAGAUCUUCGGCAACACACUCAGAAACCAUGAGCUGCUUGUUGUCUAAACAAAGUGGUCAUGCAUUCAAUACACUUGGAUAAAGACAAAGAACAAUACACCAAACAAACACAAUCAAGUGAACACAAGUUUGACAUAAUAGCAUAACACAAAAAGGUAAACCUAGUUGCUAGGGUGGAUUAGUACACUUAGAGAUUAGUGAUUCCCUAAAUAUUAUGCAUUACAUAAUUUAGUUCCACUAAUUUUAGUGAGGCACAAGAAUAUACCAGAGAUAAUUUCAUACAUGACAAAUUAUUAAUCUCACAAAAUUAAACACCUAAGUAUAAUUAGGGUUUUCCUUUUUAUUUUCUUACUUCAUAAACAAAUUAUUACAUACACUAACCUAUAGCUUAGGCAUAAAAUUAAAGUGUGCAGACAGUGAAUGAUCAUAAUUUAUUUAGACAGAGAAACAAUCCUAUGAACAUUUUGCAAUUUGAAUCACUCAAUUUGGAGUUCAUAUGAAAAGAUAUAAAUAAACAAGUUUUGUAGUUUAAAAUACAAAACUAGGUUUAAAUAUGUGAUUAAUUAAAAGGUCAGGGGUCUGUUUACAAGAAUACAGGGGCCUGCGCGCAAAACCUAAAGGAUGGCGGGUUGAUUCUCGGGAAACCAAGGGUUUCUUUAACAAAAUCACACGCGAAGGGGUAUCGGCUAAACGCGAUCGGACGGUUGCAGACCAAUGGCCAAGAUUAGUUCUAGUCAAGCGGAUGUGCGUGUGCGGACGAGAGCGUGGGCUGACCAGCAGGCCAGGGAUGUCAGUGACCCAGGUGCGGGACGGACUGACCGGCGGGGCCCAACAGCAGGGUGCGAGUGAGGAGGGCGGAUCCGAGCAGUAAGAUCUGAAUCGGAUAGUUAGGAUUAGAUCUAGAUUAAUUGAAGUCGGGGCGUCAGAUCAGAAUUGGGCGGUUAGGAUGGGUGACUGGGACUUCACCUUCACCGGUAAGCCAGGGGCGGCGUUCCCCACGGACACAGUGGCGCCGUCGCCGGCGGCGAGGCAGGCUGGGGCUCCUAAGGCGCUAGGGGUUGGUCUGGAUAACCAGAUAGGUUGGGGAUGACUCAACAAACACUAAGGCGAGGCCAGGAUUGCGUGAACCAUGAAUAGGGCUAAGGCGGACAGACGACAGAGGGGGGCCCUCGGGUGAACCCAGGGCUGCUCCGGCAAGCAAUACCUGUCGCAGUGGGCAUUAAUUCGGCGCUCUAAUGCCGACAUAGGUUCUAGGGAGAGGGUAGCAGUGCUCUAGGCCUGAGUUUGGGCUCAGGGAGGGGUUGCAGUGGCCGGACGCCAUGAAGAAGUGGUGGUCCAACGAAGGGGGGCUCCGGCGAGACGAAAUUCACCACGGUGAAGCGUGAUUGGCGCAAAAUAAGGACGAGGUAGGGUCACUUACCCAGACACGGUGCUUGGGGCAGCUUGGCACGGCGCGGGGAGGCUCCGGUUGGCCGGGCGUCGAAGAAUCACGGUGGCGGCAAGCUCCGACCUGUGCAGGGGAGAGGCUGAGCACGGACCGCGCAGAGGAGUUGAGGAAAGGGGAAAGCACAGGGGAAUCCCAGUGUCCCAAUCUCAGGCGAAGCUCACUAUGGCCAAAGCGAUGGCAGAAGUGCAGCGGCGACGGCAGAACGGCGAAGCGACAGCGGGGGAAGGCAGCGCUGCGGUUGGGUGAGUGCGAGGGCGGGGGGAGCGUGAAUGUGAGGCAGGGCGAGCUGAGGGAGUGUGUGGGGUAUUUACCUAGUGCUCGGGUGACGUGGGCGGGUCGUGGGGACGUGGGCGCGGGUCUGACGGCGCGGGUGCACGCCAUGGGCGCGGCGGUUGCGGACGAAGGGGCGGGUCUGACGAGCAGGGCCCGCGAGCCAGCGAGAGCGGGUGUGCGCGAGCACGCAAUGGUGAUGACAGGGCAGUCCCACUAGGCAUAUAGAGAGGAGGAGAGCGAGCGAGCGCAGCGCGGCGCCAACAGGUGGGGCCCACCUGCCAGCGGACGCGGGCGCGCGUGAGGGGUGUUAACUGGGCCGGCUUGGGCCGAAAGGCCGAGGAGGGAGGGACUUCGGGAUGUUUUCUUUUUAUUUUCUGAAUUUCUAAUCAUUUUGCUUUUAUUUUCUCAAUUCCAUUUCAAAUACCAAUUAAAAUUCAAACUAUUUCAAACAUGUGCAUUAAACAAAAGAACAAAUUAGGAUCAGCAUGAUGCAAUAUUUCAUGACUCACAUAGUUUUGACAAAGUAAAUAAUUAAUCCCUCUCCUAAUUAACUUAAUUCUAAUCAAAAGAAAGAGAUAGAGAGAGACUAAAGAUAUAGAGAUUAGAGAUAACACUUGAAUUUGGUAGAUAUUUAGAAAGAAAUUUUACACCCCCAAAUUCAGGGUGUUACUAUUAAGGUCUUAGAGGAUGACCAUGGUAUCAUGAAAAGCAAUGUGUGAUAAAGCGAUGGACAAACAUGUUCGUGCUGGUCGAAUCCUAAUGAAAAGACCUGGUGUUGUGGUGCCUGAGGACAUUGUUGCUGACGUGCUUGCUGGGUCUGCUGGUAUGAGUAAACCUUCUCCUUCUGGUGAUCCUGUUGGUAAGGUCCCCUGCGAGAAUGCUCCUGCACAAUAAUUGUGUAAUAAAGACAAAUUUUGAUUCGUUUGAACAUAAAACACUUUUCAUUGAGUUGGUAUUUCUCGUCGAGAUGGCGCAUGAUAGAGCCAUGUAUGCGUGAGCAUGCUGUGUCGACUUAAGGUUUUUCUGACUUCAGACGUUUACGACUUAAGUCGAUUGCUUUGUUAGUAGGGUAUAAUAAUCACCCUAAGUUAUGUAAGCGCGAGCAUGUCGCACCGAUCGCGUCGCUAGCCCGGUCACAGGAGCGAGGAAGGCGCUGACAAGCGGGACCCGCUUGCCAGAGAGAGAGAGAUAGCGAGAGAGCGAGGGUGAGAGCGGCUGGCGGGUGGGGCCGGGCUGGCAGCGGCGGAGGGGAGCGCGGGCGCGCGGGCGAUGGGCCGCUUGGGCUGCGAGGGAGAAAGGGAGGCGCGGGCGCGCGGGAGAGAGAGAGAGAGGGGGUUUGGGCCGGAAAUGGCCCAGCCGAGGGGGGGGAAGUGUUUUACUUUUUCUUUUUCUAAUUUCUAUUUCCUAUUUCUAUUUCUUUUUUUCUAUUUCUUUUAUCUCUUUUUCUUUUGAACAAAUAAUUAGCUAAAUAAUCUUAGGUGCUAGAAAAAAUAUUCUAUGUGAGGUGCUUCUAACAAUCAUAGUGUAUGCAAAUGAUGAGAUAUCCAAUGAGGUGGAGUCUAGGGAGCAAUUAGGGGGGUUAGGAGAUUAGGGUUCCAAACCUUUGGUUAAAUUUUGGGAUGUUACAAACCUACCCCACUUAAAGGAAUCUCGCCCUCGAGAUUCAGACUGGGCUUGAGAAAAGGUAAGGGUAUUCCCUCCUCAAGGAGUCCUCACUCUCCCAGGUAGCUUCCUCUUCUCCUUCUCUGCUCCACUAAACUUUACACAGUCUCACUUCUGAGUUGCGGGUCUUUCUGACUGCCGAGUCAAGAAUCUUUACUGGCUUCUCUCGGUACUGAAGAUCUUUCUGAAUCUGGAUUGUCUCUUCUUCGAUGUGACUUUCUAGUACUUGCAGGCAUUUGCGGAGCUCGGACAUGUGAAACACAUUGUGGAUAUCUGACAUAGAUUCUGGCAAUUCAAGGCGGUAUGCUGCGGGUCCUACUCUGCCAAUGAUAGGAUAGGGGCCGACGAACCGCGGGGCUAGCUUCCCUUUCACUUGAAACCUUUUGACUCCGCGCAUCGGGGAGACCUUGAGGUAGACGAAGUCUCCUUUCUCAAAUUUGAGUUCUCUCCGCCUGUUGUCUGCAUAACUUUUCUGCCAACUCUGAGCUUCAAGUAAUCUUUUGCUGAUCAGGGCGACUUUCUCUUCUGCCUCUUUAACAAAGGCAGGUCCUUCUAGUGUCUUUUCCCCUACGUUGGACCACAUUAAAGGGGUCUGGCACUUCUGUCCAUACAAUGCUUCGAACGGUGACAUCUUGAUACUGGCCUGGUAGUUGUUGUUAUACGAGAACUCUGCAUAAGGCAAACUGGACUCCCAUUUUUUGUCAAACGUCAACAAACGGGCUCUUAAUAAAUCCUUGAGGACCUUGUUGACCCUUUCUGUCUGACCAUCUGACUGGGGGUGAUAAACGGUGUUGAAGUCUAGCUUGGUGCCCAUAGCUUGCUGAAGGCUCAUCCAAAAUUUUGAAGUGAACUGUGUUCCCCUGUCUGACACUAUCUUCCGUGGAAUACCAUGGAGUCUGACUAUCUCUUUAAGAUAUAUCCGGGCAAGGGUGGCUCCUCCAAAGGUAGUUUUCAUUGGGAUGAAGUGGGCUACCUUGGUAAGAUGGUCUAUUAUCACCUAGAUAGAGUCGUUCCCUUUUUGGGUCCGGGGCAGUCUGGUUACAAAAUCCAUGCCUAUUUCCUCCCACUUCCAUUCGGGCACUGGAAGGGGUUGCAAUAGGCCUGCAGGCUUCUGAUGCUCGGCCUUAGUUCGUUGGAAAGUGUCGCACCGGGCCACAUACUGUGCUAUCUAUUUCUUCAUUCCUCUCCACCAGUAUCUGGUUUUGAGGUCUAGGUACAUCUUGGUGGUCCCUGGGUGGAUAGAGUAGGCUGAGUUGUGAGCUUCGUCAAGCAGAACUUCUCGUGCCUCUCGUUUUGGUACACACAGACGGUUCUUGAACCAAAGGACUCCUUCCUCAUCUGUCCUGAAGUCCGGAAGUGGUUUCUUGCGAGCUUUUUCCAUAAGACCUGUUGUCUCAGUGUCCAGGCGUUGAGCCUUGCAUAUGAGGUCUUCUAGCAUUGGCUUGACUUCUAGGCUGCCAUUGUCUCCCAGACAUGCAUUCAGCUGAGCUGAUUCUUUCUUCCAAUCUUCUAAGAAGUUGGUUCUUUUUUCCCGAAAGGUUUUCGGCUGAGGGCGUCUGCUACCACGUUGGCCUUCUCGGGGUGGUAGUGGAUUUCAAGGUCAUAAUCUUUGAUCAAUUCCAGCCAUCUUCGCUGACGGAGGUUGAGGUCUGGCUGAGUGAAGAUAUACUUCAGACUCUUGUGUUCGGUGAAGAUGUGACAUUUGUUCCCAAUUAGGUAGUGCCUCCAUAUUUUUAGGGCAUGCACUAUGGUUGCUAACUCCAAAUCGUGUGUGGGAUAAUUCUGCUCGUGUGGCUUCAGUAAGCGUGAUGCAUAUGCAAUGACUUUCUCAUUUUGCAUAAGUACACACCCUAAGCCUUGCCUUGAAGCAUCACAGAAGACGACGAAAUCCUGAUGGAUGUCUGGCAACGUCAAAACGGGUGUGGUUGUGAGCUUCUUCUUUAUGAUUUGGAAGCUUUCUUCACACUUCAGGGUCCACACAAACUUAUUGUCUUUCUUGAGGAGCUCGGUCAUUGGUCUUGCUAUGCUGGAGAAUCCUUUGAUAAAACGUCGGUAAUACCUUGCCAUUCCCAGAAAGCUUCGAACCUCACUAACGUUGGAUGGCUGCUUCCAUUUGGAUACUGCUUCUACCUUGGACGGGUCUACUUCUAUUCCUUCUGCAGUCAAGAUAUUCCUAAGGAAGGCUAUCUUUUCUAACCAGAAUUCACAUUUGCUGAGCUUAGCAUAGAGUUGAUGUGCUCUGAGUCUUUCGAGGACAAUCCGGAGGUGAUGCUCAUGAUCUUCGUGGCUCUUGGAGUAGAUAAGGAUGUCGUCAAUGAAGACUACGACAAACUUGUCCAGCUCUUCCAUAAAUACCUUAUUCAUGAGGUUCAUGAAAAAGGCGGGUGCGUUGGUUAGUCCGAAGGACAUUACUGUGAACUCAUAUUGUCCGUACCGGGUGACAAAUGCAAUUGAUUCUCAGCUGGUGAUAUCCUGACCUUUGGUCUAUCUUGGAGAAAUACUUGCCCCCUUGAAGCUGGUCGAAGAGGCCGUCGAUCCGAGGGAGUGGAUACUUGUUUUUUAUUGUAACUUCAUUCAAGGAUCGGUAAUCAAUACACAUCCUCAUACUUCCAUUCUUUUUGGUGACGAAAAGGACUGGUGCUCCCCAAGGAGACGAGUUGGGACGAAUGUACCCUUUUUGCUGGAGCUCUGCGAUCUGGAGUUUUAAUUCUGCUAGUUCGGUGGGAGCCAUGCGGUAUGGUCUCUUUGCGAUGGGCGCAGUGCCGAGGAUUAGAUCUAUGUAGAACUCCACUUCUCUUUCUGGCGGCAUUCCUGGCAAUUCUUCUGGGAAUACAUCCAUGAAUUCUUCUACCACAGAUAUGCUUUCUGCUGCUAGAUUAAACACCAUUGGAUCCUUGGCGGGUGGCUGAGCCUGACAAGAAACUGACUUUCCUUGGUGGUCCGUGAGAAGAACAGUCUUAUUUGCGCAACUUAUGAUGCCCUUGUGUUUGGUUAACCAAUCCAUUCCUAAGAUCACAUCAAUCCCUUGGGAUGGCAAGACGGUCAAGUUUGCCAAGAACACUACCCCACUUAAAAGAAUUCUGACUUGGGAGCAUUUGAGCUGGCAUAAAAGGUCUGACCCUGGGGUUCGGGUGACCAAGGGAAUUUCUAGGUGGGUAGAGGGAAUGUCAUGCUUUUCCACAAAACUAGUGGAUAUAAAUGAAUGGGAUGCUUCUGAAUCAAAAAGUACAGUAGCGGGAGUAAAUUCAACAAGGAACUCAUCGAGCACUACUCCCGGAGCUUGCUGAGCCUCUUGAGCAUCGACGUGGUUUACUCGUGCCCUGCCAUGAUACUGGGUCUUGCUCUGCUGGCUGAUGGAGGAGGGCGCCUUGGAGGCGGGCGCUGGGGCAUUCUUCGGGCCAUUCACCGAGUUGGAGUAAGUCGGUCAUGAUGCCUUCAACUGGGGGCAGUUAUUCUUGAAGUGACUGGGGUCUCCGCAGUGCCAACAGGCAUUUGCUGGUGGUUGGUUGCUUGCGACUGAGGGAGCCUGAAAAGAGCUCUGACUCUGCUGAUUGAAACGUGACGGAGUGGGUCCAGCUGGUCUAUUGAAGCUUGAUCCCUUGGGUGGAAACCCAAAGGAUCGAGUUCUCUGGUGCCGGUCUUGCUGCUGAGCUCGGAGGACUUGGAAUUUCCUCUUGAGGUGACUUUUUUCUUCUUCCCUUGCUCUUUCCACUUGUAUGGCUUUGUUUGAGAGGUGCGAGAAGCUGAGGAAAUCUUGGCUGGCAAGGAUGGUCUUGAGUUCUGGUCUUAGCCCUUUCAGAAAAUGGGCCAUCUUCUUGGCUUCUGUGCUGACGUCGUCAGGCACGUAGCGAGCCAAUUCUGUGAAUUUGUGCACGUACUCACUGACAGAUCUUCCACCUUGAGUUAGUUACCGAAAUUCAUCUUCCUUGAGCUGAACAAUCCCUUGGGGCACAUGAUGCUCUCGGAAAGCAGUUUCAAAUUCUGCCCAGGUAGCAUCUCUGACGACAGCGCUGAAGGUAUCCCACCAUGAUAGGGCCAUCUCGGAAAGUUGAUGAGCAGCCAAUUGAACACGCUGAUUCUCAGGGCAUCCGAUGGCUUCUAACUUCCUUUUUAUCGUGUGCAGCCAGUCAUCGGCAUCGAGGGGAUUGCUGGAUCCAGCGAAUGCGGGAGGCUUGAGCCUCAGAAAAUCUCCCAUCUUGUCUUGUGGUCUUCCACCAUUCGUGCGCUGAUUCUCCAGACUUCUAGUGAGGACUUCAAUGAGUCGGGUUUGGUUGGCUAGAACUUGGGCUAAAUCUAAUGGCAGCUCCAGAGGUGCGGAGAGGUGGGUCUCACUCCCUUCUCCACCGGCUUUUCCUUCAGCUCCUAGGGGAAACCCUGCUCCAAUCCCGGAGGCGGUAGGCGUGGUUUUAUCCGAAGCCAUCUGCCAGGGGGAGAGAAUUACUACUAUGCAUAUGCCAAUUUUUUUUCAACCAUGUUAUUUUAUUCAUCACACCAGUUCAUUACAAGCAUUCAGUUACCACAAGUCGCACUACACACAGCGCUUUCUAAGGUACUUCCGAACUCCCUUUCUAAAGUGUCCCCAAAUUCCUUGAGAAGGUCGUCAAGGCUAGCUAGGGACAUGUCCUCGACGUCGGACAAGUUCUCUAUCCUGGAGGGAGGUAGUGCUGGAGGGGCUUCCUUCUUCCGCUCAGUUUGGCAUCCUUGGUUCUUGGUCUUCUUUCGGUUUUUCUUCGUGGGGGCGAGCUUCUUUAGCUUCUUAUCAUAAUCCAUCUUCAGGGUUCGGUAGGCUUCACGAGUGUUGGUCUCUUCACCUUCUGCUAUUUCGAGACUCUCUUGGAGGGAUGCCUUCUCCUUUUUAAGUUCCUUGACCUGUUGUUCUAAGCUUUCCACCCAGGAGUUUAGGUGGGUGUAGUGGGAGGAAAGGUCAUCAUAGUGGUUAUCGAGAGUGUGGAGACAUCCGGCCAUGUAGACGAUGGUGGGGUCAUCCUCAGUAGGAUCUCUUCCUGAUAGGGCCUGAAGUCUUUUCCUCCAGUAGGGGUAUUUUUGUUGCUGGGUGGGAAGUAACGAAGGGGGGUUUCAAAGACCUCUCUGCUGUAGUUUUGGCAUAGCUGUCGGAGGGCUUUUCGGGCAACAUUUUGGCAAGUGUCUAGGAAGCGGUGUCCAGUGAAGGUGACUUGGAAAGGAGGGUGGUUUGGGUAGCUUCGGCUUUCUCCCAGGUAGACUGCCAUAGAGCACUUCUCAGUUCCGUUCUCGUGGUAUUCUUUCCAGACGUACUCUGGCUUCUUGCGGAUCCCCAUGCGAAGCACGCAACUCCGCAAGAGAUGAGGGAAUCCUUCCACCUCUGAGCAGUAGGAUGUCCUAAUGACCAAAGAGCCUUCCAUCCGGUAGAAGAAAAGAAGGGUCUCUUAAUAUCGGGGGAAAGGAGAGAAGAUUUUCUUAGAGGUAAGAGGUAUUUUCUUUUUAAGGCAAACUUUUAUGGUCGGGGCUGCGAUCUACGGCCAGUCCUAUGGGCUCUGAUACCACCUGAAGCGUCCUGAUCCUUUGGGACUCAAAUGUGAAACAAUUACUAGUCCCAGGAGGCUAGUAACCACAUUCCUUACUUCAAAUAGUACAGAGUUCGAAUAAUAGUUAUUACAAUACCAGGGUACAAGCUCGAGAGAGCUAGAAUUACAAAGCGCAGUAGAAGAUAAACUAGCCCAAGCCACAGGCGGAACUGGGUGCAGACACAGCCCCCUCAAUCAAGCAUAGCAGAAAAGAAGUCUUCAGCUGCUGAAAAACAUAAAUAAAUUUGGGUGAAUACACUAGGUAAUCCGCAAGCCCAUCCCGCUCCCGUAAAUAGAAAGGGACCUAUAUAAUACAUGCUUUAUAUGGUGGAGUUGAAGUCACUCUUCUUUUUCUCAGAGAAAGGCAAUACUUUGAUGGUUUUUCCCAAAGAAGGAAAUAGCACUUUUUCACACUCAACCACCACUGAGCUUCCCGCUCCUGUGGCAUCGUUUCUUUUCCAAAAACACACCCACUCACACAUUUCCCUAUUCUCGGAGGUUGUAAAACACUAAUUGUCAUACCACACCAGACUCGUCCAUUCCAGUGGACACGGACUAUUCGAAUAGGUUUGAACUCUGCGCAGAGGAGUACACUUUACCCACUAGUUCGAUUUCUGCGAUCUCACCGUCGUGAGACCCGAAUGAUGAAUCUCUCUCUUUCCUCGCACGUCCUUACCUUAACGGUUAUACCGGAAGGAGUCAGGCCACCGCCAUGUCCAAACCGGACAAAACAUUCCCCCUCCUUAUCCUCCCGGUGCUCCCCAGCCUUCAUAACCCUGGGGUUUGGACUAUACGAGUUCAAAUUGAGUGACUGCCCAUACAGUCUCGAGUGGUUGUACUUAUCAUGAGUACAUGUAGUGAAGGAUGACAAAUCAGUCCUUAUAUGAGGGGACAAUCCUUCUGCUCACACCUAAACUGGCUGAGCCAUCACCUUAGGCCCUCCCCUAAACCAGGGAGUCCCUGAUCAUCCCACUCACAAGGUGAUGAGGGUGAAUACCCUUCAUCAUACACUUUUUGAAAACAUCCCUUAGUAAAAACACUGCCCUUUUUCCCAUCCUACAUUUUGUACUCAAAAGAUGUUUGUUAAUGUGGGCUAUCUCUCUGCUCACAAUGCAAAAGAUCCAUCCCUUAAUCCCGGCUUAGGUAGUGGUAGAAAAAAUAGGUAAUUUAUGCAUCAAGGGAAGAAUGGACUUGCCUUCGUCGAAGCUCUCCUGGCACAAAAGAUCUAUCUCGGAGAGGUUGGGUUCCUGCCCUUCUUCCGGAGCUACAAAUUUCGGAGGAUCGGAUCCCUCUUCUUCUAGCAAAAAUAGAUAAUGAACGGUACAUCAAUCAUGGUGACUUGGUGGGGUGUGCCAAUUUUUAGACAUUAUUAUUUUGUGCCCUAAAAUUUAUUUAGACUAUUUUUGGUGCAUAAAAUAUCAAUAUAUAUAUAGGAAAGGAAAAAGGAAAGGGUUUUCUCUGCUAGCUGGGCCGGGGGGAGAUUUUGGCCCAGCCGGGCGCGGGCGCGCGGCGCCGCGGCAAAAUAGGCCCAGACGGCCCACGAGGAGAGGGGACGGCGCGGCGGACGCCGUGGGUGUGGGCCCACGCGCCAGAGAGAGGAGGGGGGUGACGGCGUCAGUGGGGAGGAGGGCGGUCUUCGGCGGUGAGAACAGGUCGCCGGUGAACCCGACGGCGGUUCCUCGCCAGUGGUCUGGUUCUGUGUGGACGGAAUGGUGGCAAAGCACGAGCGGAGGUAGGGGGUCACGGAGGUGGAGUCAAUUUGGCCGGUGGAUGCCCGGAAUGGCCGGUCCAUGGCGGGUGGCGGGCUCCGCGGCGGUGAGACCACCGGCGAGGCCAACGGGUGAAAUAGGCAAGGGGGAAAAGGUGUGUCGUGCUCGCGGUGAAGUGGCGGAGCUCAAGAGCUACACUAAUUUGACUAGAACCCAACAGAGAGGGGAAGGGGGGAGCUCACCAGAGAUGAAGAUGACGGCGACGCUGGCUCAAUUGAGCUCGGGGAAGGGGGAAGAGAUGGCCGAGGCCGGGGUGAGGAAUUGGGGAGCUCGGGGCGCUCCUUUUAUAGGCGCCCAGGGCGGGGAAGGGGGCGAGAGGUGGCGAGCACCGGCGAGCUUGCCACGACGGGGAUGGUGGUGCACAGUGGUGACGACGGGAUGGCUCGGGCAGACGGGAUGGCUUAGGCAGACGCAAGACGCCAAACCGAGCUGGUGAGCGCGAUAAUGGCGAGGCAACGAAGUGGGCAGUGGCCGGCGGCGAUCGCUUCGCUAGCCCGGUCACGGGCGCGAGGAAGGCGCUGACAAGCGGGACCCACUUGCCAGAGAGAGAGAGAUCGCGAGAGAGCGAGGGUGAGAGCGGCUGGCGGGUGGGGCUAGGCUGGCAGCGGCGGAGGGGAGCGCGGGCGCGCGGGCGAUGGGCCGCUUGGGGCGCGAGGGAGAAAGGGAGGCGCGGGCGCGUGGGAGAGAGAGGGGGGUUUGGGCCAGAAACGGCCCAGCCGAUGGGGGAGUGUUUUCCUUUUCCUUUUUCUAAUUUCUAUUUCCUAUUUCUAUUUCUUUUAUCUCUUUUUCUUUUGAACAAAUAAUUAGCUAAAUAAUCUUAGGUGCUAGAAAAAAUAUUCUAUGUGAGGUUCUUCUAACAAUCAUAGUGUAUGCAAAUGAUGAGAUGUCCUAUGAGGUGGAGUCUAGGGAGCAAUUAGGGGGGUUUAGGAGAUUAGGGUUCCAAACCUUGGGUUAAAUUUUGGGAUGUUACAUGUGAGUAUAUCCUCCUUGAGCUUUUUUGAAUGGCCCAAUCAUAUCUAGCCCCCAGCAUGCAAAGGGCCAGGUUACAGGAAUAGUUUGCAAAUGUUGGGUGGGCAAGUGUUGCUGCUUUGAUAGGAACUGGCAUGCUUCGCAUUUCUGAACCAACUCUGCCGCAUCUUUCUUUGUUAAAGGCCAGUAGAACUCGGACCUGAAACUUUCACUACCAAUAUCCUUGAUGCCGCAUGUACACCACAUUGCCCUACAUGGAUUUCAUCCAGUAGCUGUCUUCCUGUAGCCAAAUGAACGCACUUCAUGAGGACUCCUCCUGCACCUCUUCUAUACAGCAGACCCCCUAUGAUGGUAUAGUGGGUCAACCGUCUUGCGAUGCGCUCUGCCAUGGCCUUGUCAUCCGGUUCUUCCUUGUUUUUAUGUACUUAAUAAUUGGCUCCCUCCAGUCGUUGGGAUCUGCUUCUGCUUGGUCUAAGGCGUUGCACUCCUCAACCUGCUCUACGGUGACGCUCAAUUGCCAUACCUCUUGGACGAAAAUCCCAGGAGGAACCUAGGCCUGACUGGUCCCCAAUUUUGACAAUGCAUAUGCUGCUGCAUUGUGAUCCCUUUUCAUGUGGUGAAAUUCUAAACCCUCGAAUUUGUCUUCCAGCUUCCGCACCGCAGCGUAAUAUCUGUUCAUUGAGUCGGUUGAGCAGUCCCAGUCCUUGUUUACCUGGCUGAUGACUACCAGUAAGUCUCCGUAUACCAUUAACCUUUUGAUGCCUAGUGAAAUGGCGAUGCUGAGCCCGUGAACCAGGGCUUCGUACUCCGUGGCAUUGUUGGAUGUUGGAAACAGGAGCUGAAGCGCAUACUUAAGUUGGUCACCUCCAGGGGCAACAAAAAGGAUCCCUACUCCUGCCCCCUGCAAUCUUAACGAGCCGUCAAAGUACAUUUUCUAGACUUUAGGAGCUUCUAGGUUUUCUAGGACCUGGUGCUCGGUCCAUUCUGAUAUGAAAUCGACCAGUGCUUGAGUCUUUAUUGCAGUACGAGGUCGGAAUUCUAUAUCAUGAGCUCCGUGUUCACAUGCCCAUUUGGUUGUUCUUCCAAUAGCUUCCUUAUUGUGGAGUAUAUCUCGUAGUGGGAAUCUUGUGACUACUAUGACUUUGUGGUCGUCAAAAUAGUGUCGGAGUUUUCGAGCAGUUAGAAGUACUGCAUGUAAUACCUUCUGAACUUGAGGAUACCUUAUCUUUGAGGGACCGAGGACUUCACUGAUAAAGUAAACCGGAUGUUGUAUUAGAUACACACGCCCUUCUUCUGCCCGCUCGACUACCAAUGCAGUGCUUACCACGUGAGUCGUGUAGGAGAUAUAUAACAGCAGGUCUUCAGUCGAUGGAUCGGAUGUAGCUUGACGCGGUGGCUUGAGUACUGGCGGUGUGGGUUAGAAACUUCUUUACUACUUCUAAGGCUUCUUGAGCUUCUGUGGACCACUAGAAUUUAUCCACCUUUUUGAGCAGUUUAUAGAAUGGAAUCCCUCUUUCACCAAGUCUUGAAAUAAAUCUACUCAGCGCUGCCAUGCACCCAGUGAGCCUCUGUAUUUUUCCUCGUCUUCCUUUGCCAAACUGAUCUGAUGAUAUCCAUAGUAGCAAUCUAGGAAGGAGAGCAUAGAACAACCAGCGAUCGAAUCAACUACUUGAUUUAUUCUAGGGAGUCCAAAGGGGUCCUUAGGACAGUGCUUAUUGAGAUCGGUAUAGUCGACGCACAUGCGCCAAUCAACUUUAUUCUUUUUUAGUACAAGAACAGGAUUUGCUAGCCAUUCAGAAUGUAGUACUUCUCUAAUGAAUCAUGCCGAUACCAGGCGAGCUAAUUCCGCCUGAAUGGCUUCUCUUUUGUCAGGCGUGAAACAACGUAGCUUCUGUCGGAUUGGCCUUGCCUGAGGGUACACUUUGAGUUUGUGCUCGGUCAGCUCUCUCGGGACUCCCGGCAUGUCCACAGGUUUCCAUGCGAACAUGUCUCGAUUGUCUUGCAGGAACUAGAUGAACGCGCUUUCCUAUUUGUCGUCGAGGCUGGAACUGAUGAUUGCGGUCUUGCGUUCAUCAGAGAAUCCAAGAUUGAUCCUUUUAGUUUCUUCAAUCGGACGAAUAGAGGUCACGGUCGAGGCUUCAUUCAAAGAGAUUUUGAACUUUUCUUCCACCAGCUUGCCAUCGACUUAUGCGGGAAGGGCUACCGGGGGCCCGGCGAUGAGAGUCGUCUGAAUGGCACCCCGAAAGCAUUCUGCGACGCCUUGGAAGUCAGCGCGCACGGUGAUGAUCCCUUGAGGUCUUGGCAUUUUGAGUAUCAUAUAUAGGAAGUGUGGGAUAGCCAUGAAUUUCACCAACCCUGGUCUUCCAAUGAUGGCGUUGUACCCGCAAUCAAAGCGUGCCACCUCAAACCUUAGGAACUCAGUUCGGUAGUUCUCUGGGGUUCCAAAGGUGAAGGACAUGUAGAUGUGUCCCAGUGGGUACUCCCCUUUGGUCGGCAUGAUGUCGAAGAAAGGAGUAUCUGACUCAGUGAGGUCGUCGAUGGUGACCCCAGGGCCUGAAGCGUUCGGGGAAAUGUGGCGUUGAUGCUGCUGCCACCAUCCACCAUCACCUUCUUAACCCGGCUUUCCUGAAUCACUGGAUCAACGAGUAGUGGAUAUUUGUCGGGGUGAUCGAAGUUAAGCCACUUAUCAGCUCGGCUGAAGGAUAUUGUGUGCUUCGACCAUCGGUAAGGAGCUAGAGCACUAUUUGUGGCCACCAGAACUUGUCGGUCAUUAAGUUUCUGUUGCCUUCUGCUUUCUUGUGCUUUGUGGCCUCCGAAUAUCACAUUGACCUCCCUGUCAACACGCGGGAAAGCUCCACCUCUCCCUCCUUCCUGUUGUUGAGGUUGCCUAGGCUCAUUAGGCUCUCCUCGAGGCGGGGGAGGCGGCAGUGGCUAGAACGGUCGGCCAUGCCCGACGGAGUUAUUGAAAUCCCUGUAGUUUCGUAGGGUGUGCCGCAUGUCCUUGUGAUAUGGGCACUGAGAAUCGAGGAUCUCGUCCAGUGUUUGUACCCCUCCGUAGGGUGCAUCGCGGGCUCGGGCGGCAGGUGGCCGAUGGUGUGCACCUCCUCACGAGGUCUCUUCUCCCAGUGUUUGUCUAGUUGCUGGUUCAUGUCCCUUCGCGGUGCGGGCAGUAUGGGCUUUGCGCCUCUAAUGAGGUCCUGACCCGCUCAUCCGUGGUGAUGUAGACGUCUACCUCCCUGAACAGUUGUUCAGAGGUGGCAGGUGCCUUUUGAAGUAUGGCCCAGAGAAAGGCCGGGUCAUUGGAUCCCCAAUAGAAGUCUUCAAUCACAGCCGCCUCAGCGACCUCGGGAAUACGGUUCCUCAUCAUUUGAAACCUUUUGAGGAACAAACAAAGAGUUUCUUCAUUACGCCGCCUAAUGGAUUUGCGGUCCCAUGGCUGUGCCAGUUUAUCGGACAGAGACUGGAAAUUCACGAUAAACUGGUGACUAAAAUCUCCCCAAUCGUCGAUGCAGUGUCGAGGCAGGUGCUGGAGCCAUUGCAGUGUGUCCUGCCCCAGAACGAUGGGCAAGUACGCUGUCAUGACGUUCUCCAUUGCCCCAGCAGCCCGGGCGGCGGUUGUAUAGACAGUCAACCAGCCCCCUGGGUCCUGCUUAGGCUCAUAUUUGUCGACGUUGGAGACCUUGAUAUUAGGAGGCCAAUGGAUGGCCCGGAGGCGAGGGGUAAGCGCGGAGAUCACGCACGUAUCCUCUUGUCGAUGAUCAUGUCGUCGAUCCUAGGGAGGGGAGUGAGUAUUAGGUCGCCUCGACCGUCCCCAGACCGGACUGUUGGUUGAGGCUGCUGCUGACUCAAUUCGGGUUGCGUGGUUGUGUACCGGUACACCAUGAUCUCGGUCGUAUUCCUCUCGGCGCCUUAUCUCAUUCUCGUGCCGAUGAUCGCGUGAAGCGCUGAUGUUGCUCCGCAUGUCUCGUCGGCUGUUGAUGGCAUGACGCAGGUCAUUCGGCGGGUGGUCGACAGGUAGAAGAUGAUUGGCUACCUAAGUAAGCACCGUUGAUAAUCCUCCACGUCUGGGGUCCACGGGAGGCCAUUGGCUAUCUGCUCCAGUACUCCUCCAACUUCAGUCGGCGUGUUCAAUGCUCGGGCGAAGUCAGGGUACAAGUUUCGGGCGAGAAGCAUAUUCUCCCGUUGGAGCCUAGCAUCUUGUUCAGCUAGUUCCCACUCUCGUUCUUAAGCCUGACGACGAUCGCGGGGGCGGGAGUUGCGUCGUUCUCGAUGUGUUCUUUCGUCGGGGGUUUCCCCCAUCUCUGAGGCUUCGUCGCGAGAGACAGGUUGUGUCGGGUCCCGUUCUCCGGCUUCGUGAUGUCGUCGCACGUUUUGGCACCUAUUUCUCCAUCGCCGAGCAUCACGCUGGGGAGGUUCCUCCCCCAGCAUGGUGGGUUCAUUGUUAGAGAUGGGUGAUGACUCCAGUCUCCCCUGAAUGAAGAGGACGUUGGGGUAGAAAGGAGCAGGUACGGUGGUGUGCUUCUUCUCAUCCUCCUUUGAGGGCGGAGGUGUUGGGAGGAUUGCUCGUUGUGUUCUUCUUCCCCUGUAUGGAACAUUUGCUUCCCUUCUUCGAGUGAUCUGUGUACACUCCUUAAUGGGCAAGGUGGACAACGGAGUUCGCCGGGCUAAGGAGGCCAUGGUUGACUGGCCUUCCACCCUCUAGGGACUUUUGAGCCCAGACUUGCGCGGGGCCAUGCCUCGUCGUGCUGUGAGAGGGGGUAUGACUCGCAGUUUCCCUCCAGCUUCCUAUGGAAUUUCCGAGGAGGGUUUCUUCUUGGGUGGAGUUGCUAUGCGGUGCAGAGUUUCCUCUUCGUCCGCUACGCAUGAAAUGGUCCCGAAGCAGAAAAUAGCUCCCGGGCUGAAGGUGAUCUUGCUCUUGAAGAUGAUGGUCAUGGAGUUAGCAUUGAUCGACGACACACCCCCUACCUGGCGCGCUAGAUGUCGGUGUUUAGUGUCCGACCGCACACCUGGGGGUACCCUCGUGGUGCUUUUGGGUAUGACGCUGUCGUGGAUCGUAACUCGAUGGUUCGUGUCAGGGCAUGAGAGAGAGAGUCAAGCGAGUUUCAGCAGGUUUGGGCCACUUUGAGGAGCGUAAUACCCUACUUCCUGGGUGGCUUUGUAUGUGGGAAGUGUUUACAAGUGGUGUCUACCGAGUUGUGAGGUGUUGAUGAGAUGAUAGUGAAGGGGAUCCCCCUUGGCCUUAUAGACACGACCGUGGGGUGCUUCCCGCGUACAUGUUGAUCGCACUUUUCCUGCUUAUCUCCUAGCUAAUAGCGAACAAACUUCAUUGUCCCGAGGAAAUCCGGUGCCUCCGCUCUGAGCUAUCAUUGGCGUUUGAGGAUGUUAGGCGCGAGAAAAACGAACAGCCUCAACGCGAUCACGCCCAAGCCAUGAUUAAUUCGGGCGUGGGCCCAUCACACUCCUGGGUUGGCCCAUUUCCGCCAUUUCCCUUUGCCUAGCCCACGACGAGAUGUCAUUGAGGGGUGACUGGCAUGUGGCUCCGAGCAGAGUUUUCUCCCCGAGUGGACCCGAGGGAUAUAUGUCGCCAAGCACCUGUUCCUCCAAAAAUUUUACCCCAUGCUUGUUUUCUCUUACCUAUCAUACCUAAUUGAUGUGUGGUUCUGGAUGGCCUAGCAGCACCAAACUUAGUUUCAUACUUGGCAUAUAGCUUAUACAACUCAGUCUUAACAUCAGCAAAAUAAGUACUGUAAUUAUAAUUGUUAGACUGAGAAAGGAGUCCAAGAACAUUAUACAAACCCCUCAUUUUAGCUCUAGGUCUAGAACAAAUGCAAAGGAAUAUAACAUUGGUAUAGACUUCCAGUACUUCAUGAACUUAGCUUUCAUUGGAACAACAACAACACUUAUAUUAGUAUCAUGUUCAUGUUCAUGCAGAUGGCUAGCAAAUUCAAGUAUGUGAUGGAUUACCAAAUGACUAGUGGGUCAAUAAACAUCAGACAAGACAACAGUUGAUUCAUAAAAUAGCUCAAGGAACUCCAAAACCUUUUCAGUUACAUACCAAUGUUGUUCAUUCAGUAGAGGAUAACCAUAAUGUGUAUUAAUGAACACAGAAAACACAGACUUAUAUGGCAAGAGAUGUUUUAGCAUAAGAUAUGUUGAGUUCCAUCUAACAUCCAUGUCUAAACCAAAAUUUCUAGGUCUACAACCUUUUGCUUUGCAGUAAUUACUAAAUGAACCAAUUCUCUGGUUAGAAGAGUUUAAGAAAUCAAUAGCAGUCCUAAACACAUCUAAAUAAUCCUUAAGCCUUUUCAAGCCACAUUUCGCGAUCAAGUUCAUAAUGUGACAGGCACAACGCUGAUGAAGCACACUAUAAGUUUUGUUACUAGGAUCUAUUGGAUCAACAUCAGCACCCAAAUAACCAGCAAGCAUAGGUGACAAUGUAAGCAUGACAGUUGAAUGAGAAGAAGCAUUAUCUAAGUUAACAGAGAACACUUUAUCAAUCAUUCCAAAGUAUUGAAUCACACGAGCAAUGCGUUCAGCAAUGUUAACACCAUUAUGAGACACUUGGAUCAAUUUAAAGCCUAUCACAGACUUCUUUAAUUCCCAAUCAACAUUAACAAAAUGAGCAACAACAGUAAUGUAUUCUUCCUUGGCAUUACCAGACCAUAUAUCAGAAGUCAAGCAAAUAGAAGACAUAGCAGGAAAAACAUCAUCUUUUAAGUUCUUUAAUUUUUCAUUGUAUAGCUUAACCAAGUCUCUAGCAGUUGUAAACCUAGAUACUCUAACAUAUCUAGGCUUGUGAGCAUGGUGAAUGUAAUCAUCCCAAGCAUCUAUGUCAGCUAUCCCUAACGGAAGAUCAAGUCUAGCAAUCAAACGACAAAGCUCAGUUCUAGCCACCUGAGGAUCGUAUUCCCAGUUUCUAAAAGACCCAACAUGGUUCAAAGCUAGUCUAGUUUGAACCAUAGCAGCAUGAUCAGACUUCUUUUUACAUGAUUUCUGGUGCCUAAGCAAGUGUCCAGUGCCAGCAUUAGAAUUAGCACUCAACCGAGCCUUGCAAAAUUUGCAAAUACCUGCAAUGCGCACCUUCUUAUCAUUACAGUUUUCUGUGACCUCAGUGAAGUCAUCCCAAACAACAGAUCGACGCUUACCAGAGCUUGAAGAAGUCAAUGAAUCAAGAUCAUUAGAGCCAGCAGCAUCACUAACCGGCCCGACAGGUGCCCCCUCAGGGUCAACGGCAGUAUGACUGCUACCGACAAUGAACAAGGCAGCAACAACAUCUCCUAUGACGUCGAUGUCAUCGGGAAGCUGCCCUAACUCAACGAGCUCAUCGUUGAUGGUUCUAGGGUACCGGCUGUUGUCAUCGUCGUCAUCCAUGUCCCCCUUCUCGACACAGUACCUCAACGGCCCUGCCGGCAUUAGCACGACCACGACGUAGUCGACCCACGACCUACCAAAUCCCACAAGCAAGCAGCAAAGAGGAGAUUAGGGUUAGGGUUAGGGAUUACCGACUAGGGAGGGAGAGCCAGAGAGGGAUGUACCUGCCAAGUCGGAGCCUGGAGCCAGAGACAAGGGUCAAGUGCACGACGACGCGCGACGAGCCGACAACCGACAAUGACGUGAUUAGGGUUAGGGAUUUCUGGAUUGGGGAGGGACCGAAGGAGAGACGGAGAGGGGAAAGCCGCAUGGAAGGAGAGUAGGAGACCCACCGAUGUCACAGUGACGAAGAUCCGGCAGUGGUGAUGGUGACGGCGAGGCAGUGAUGGCAUGGCGGGCGGAUGACGGAUGAGCGAAUCGUGUGGGAGUGGGACACUAGGAGUCUAAGACGGGAUGGGGGAGGCUGGGCCUUAUGCCCCGCACCCCGACACCGGCCCGACCCCGUGCCUGCCAUUUUCUGGCGGGCUGGGCUGCCCGGCGGGCGCUGCCGGCAGCCCAGGCACAACCUAGUUUAUUGGGUCGGGCCAGCCCAGGCAUGAACCCAGCCGGGUCAUGUCGUGCUUGGGCCAGGCCAAAAAACUGGGCCUCGUGUUGGGCGACCAGGCCUCGGGCUGCAUGCUCAUGUAUACACACUCUUCAUUCAAUACAAGAGCAAAGAAUACACUCCAAAGACACAUUCAAAGCCUUCAAUCCCCUCCAAGUUCCAAAAUCAAGUCAAGUGAUCAAAAGUGUUUAGUGACUUGAGAGAGGGUGAUUUGUGUUUCAUUUGUUGCUCUUGUUGCUUGGUUGCUUUCUUCUUUCUCCUUCUAAUCUUUCUAAGUGUUUUGUAAAGCAAGCAAGAGACGCCUAAUUGUAUGGUGAUCCUUGCAGGGUCUUAGUGACCUGUGUGAUUAAGAAGAAGCACUCGACCGGUCUAAGUGGCCAAUUGCGAGAGGGAAAGGGUUGAAAUAGACCCAACCAUUGUGGCAUCCUCGACCACUUGUGUUGAUCUUCACCAUUCGCUUUGUUUCUUCCCUCUUCUCUCUCUCUCUCUCAAGUUCUCUUGCUCAUAUUGUUUUGAGUUAGCUCCCAAAGUUAUCCGCAUUGAUUGAGCAACUCAUAAGCAAGAAGAACUACCUUCUGCACUCCGAAUUCAUUAUUAUUUAUUUCUAACUCUAACCCCGGGAAAAGUGUGUGUUCAAAGUUUAUAAAUUUCAGGUUUCGCCUAUUGACCCCCCCCCCCCUCUAGGUGACUUUCAAGUGGGUACCCUAGUUACGGAGUACCGACAACAGCCAACACAAUAUUGUGAUCUAACUAGUUCGCUAAGUAUGUGAAUGCAGAUUUAUAAGAAUCAAAUUGAGGUAUUCAAUGCAUCAAUUGGCUUAAAUCAAGGUUGGAAAGGGCAUUGUUUGGAUUAAAUGAACCAUGAGAGUUUCGAUAAGUUCUAAACCCUUAGAAACAUAUUUGGGCACCUUUAAAGGAUUAGAUGUUCGGAUUUUGGAAAAAUAUAUAUUUGGAGCUAAGUUUGACCAAAAAAUGGAUUCUAAGUUAGAUGGACUAAAAAGGUGAAGAAUUAUGACUUAGGCUAGUUGGAUAGAAUCUAGAUAAGUUUGUAUAAGCCAUAGGAAUGCUAGUCAAAUGGAACCAAAGUAGAACAUCUAGUUUGGACUUAACUCCAGCAUGUCUGUGACGCAUUGAAAGUCUGAUGGCGUACCGGACCAAGUACACAAUGAAGAAGUUUUUUGUGUUUUUGUGGCUUGGUGGUCCGAUGGAGCAUGUACCACUUACGGAGAGAGAACUUAUUUAGGACUUCGAUGGUCUGGUGCACCGUACCACUUAUGUAGCACGGUCGUCUUUGUACAAGCUGAAGCACUUGGCACACCGGACCAGACAGACUCAACAACAAGUUCCUACUCCAAUGGCUAAUUGAUGUGGCAGAGUUCGAUGGUGGACCGGAUCGUUCGAUGCCACCGGAUAUGGCAAGCUUCUCGUUGAUAGGCUUUACAUUUGAUUUUUUUUAGUCUCAACUUUGACCGUUUGGCUUAUUAAAAAACUACAAUAUUGUUUACUAAUUUUCAAUGUAAUUUGGUCUUUUGAUUUUUUUUAUAAGAUCAACCGUUAAAGUUGAGACUAAAAAGUCAAACGUGUGAACGUAGGUAACUAAUUUUCAAUGUAAUUUGGUUUUAAGUAUAUGUGUAAAUCAUUUUGAUUUUUUAUAAGAUCAACCGUUAAAGUUGAGACUAAAAAGUCAAACGUGUGAACGUAGGUAGUAGUACUUUAUCUAUGGUGCAAUGUGGCUCCUAAGUACUUGAAGGGCUAAAAACAGACACGACAUCCCCAAAAGUUUGUGAACACACACCCUCGUUCUUCUUUGCGUCGCCAUAAUGUAACAAAGUCACCAUACGAAAAAAGCUACCUUGACUAGAUAAAUGCAGAAAGCAAAAUAAAGUUCCGUAUUCUUGAACUUUAUCUAGAUAAUGGACAUAAACGACGGUCGUAUGUAUGUACGUUAAGAAUUAAUUACAUGCAAAUUAAAAGAUGAAGUCACUCAUCUGGAUCCCCAAACGCACACACCAUUCAUUCCUGUCUUCCUGUACACGUACAUUUCGUCUAUAUAUCUGCUAUAGUCUUGUAUUAUUAUACAAUAAUAAUAGAAGAAUUCGGAUUACAAUGCAUUCCAUAGCAGCAGAAGAAGCUCAGCUCAGCUCAGCCCGAUCACAUGUACCUGCGCAGGUAUUCCACCCUUGUGGGGUGCUUGAGCUUCAUGAGCGCCUUGAGCUCGUACUUGCGCACCAUCUCCCGCGAGAUGCUGAGGUUGCCGGCGACCUCGCUUAGCGUGCGCCUCCCCCUGCCGUCCAGGCCGAACCGCUGCCUGAUCACCAGGCUCUCCUUGGGUUUCAGAGAGUCCAGCUGCAGUGGGUUUGUGUCGUGAGCAUAUAUUGGCCAACAAUUAAUUGGAGGAAAUCAAGAA
Molecule: long non-coding RNA, 74292 nt
Filed under: Zea mays
Lineage: Eukaryota; Viridiplantae; Streptophyta; Magnoliopsida; Poales; Poaceae
Description: long non-coding RNA (ZMAY_LNC004099)
Source: RNAcentral